This 57363-nucleotide long non-coding RNA is filed under the name Vitis vinifera (wine grape). Its description in RNAcentral is "long non-coding RNA (VVIN_LNC006642)". The record is from RNAcentral. Lineage: Eukaryota; Viridiplantae; Streptophyta; Magnoliopsida; Vitales; Vitaceae.
GGCCAGGUUCUGGGCGGACUACGUAGACAAGAAGGUAUGUCUUUGCUGUUGAUUUAAAGCCUUUUUUUUCCAUUGAUUCAUGGCGAUUGGCUCAGAUUUUGAUAAUGAUGAGGGAUUUGUCCAAAAUGCUGGGUUCUUCUUCACACAUUCUCUUCUGACAUUAAGUUUUGUGGGCCUUGGGGUCUCAAACUAGAACUUUACUGAUUCUCUUUGCUGCGUGUGCAACAAGACUCCACUUUGCAUUUCUGAUGUGGGUUUUCAGUUCUUUGUUAUAUAUGGGUUUUCAUUUCUUUGUUCUGCUGAAUCUGAAGUCCGUUCUUUCCACCCAAAAAAGCAGAUCUCAAGAAUGCCUUUUCCCUCAAGAAAGGGGAUCCAAAAACCAGUUUUUACAGCACAGUGUUUGGUUUUUUUUUGUUAUCCUGAUGUUCAACAUUUUGCAGAGCAGUUCUUUUAAUACAUGUUUUGUUGCUUUGAUCUCUUUCUUCUCAUUUUCUAAAACCCACAUUGAGGGGAAAAGCUUUAGCAAAUGAUACAUUCUUUCAACUGAUUCUGAUAUUUUUCUGCCACCGGCCCUUCAUUUAAUAUGUUCCUAGUAUAUGAGAUUUCUAUGCUGAAGGGUCCUUAAUAAACUUGUCCAACUAUACAGAAAGUUGAAACUUGAUGAAAUGCUCCAAAAAAAUAACCCUUUUCUCUCUUUGACUUUAUUGUUUUCCACAGCUCUAUGAACUUGGAAGGAAGAUAUGGUCAACCAAAGGAGAAGAGCAGGAAACAGCCAAGAAGGAAUUCAUAGAGUGCCUCAAGCUUCUGGAAGGAGAGCUUGGAGAGAAGCCUUACUUCGGCGGUGAAAAAAUUGGGUUUGUGGAUGUGGCUCUGGUGACCUUCUCUUGCUGGUUUCAUGCAUAUGAGAGCUUUGGAAACUUCAGCAUAGAGGCGGAGUGUCCCAAGUUGAUAGCUUGGACCAAGAGGUGCAUGGAAAAGGAGAGCGUGUCGUCUUCUCUGGAAGACCCACACAAGGUCCAUGGCUUUGUUAUGGGGAUGAGAAAGAAGCUUGGCAUAGAAUAACUAUUUUGUAGUGUUGCUGUGGUAAUAUUAGAUAUAUGUGAGUGUUUGGCUGUUUGCUUAAGUUUUUGCUUUGAAAUUGUAUGGUUACUAUUUGCAGUUGAAACCCCUUUUGGAGGGUUGGUGGGUUUGCUGGAAAGAAAUGUUUUGAAUUUGUUUUCAUUUGUUUUGGACUGGACUAGAGAGGUGUUCUUUGUAUUCCAUCAUUUCGUGUCAUAAACAAGUAUUAACACAAGUUGGAUAAGGCAUGCCUCUGGCCCUUUAUGGUAACGUACAAAGAUAUCAUGGGCCUACAAAGAUAUCAUGGGCUACAGAAUAGGUUAGGGCCCGCUUUUUAAAUCACUUUUUUUAACUAAUAUGUUUGGCAAAAGAUGUUCUUCAAUAAUUUAAUUCAUCUUCCUUGUCGGUCAUUUUAAGUAACAAGAAAAUGAAAAAGAAAUAAGAGAAAAGUUCAAUCACGUUCCAUAAUGUUUGUUUUUGAAAAUUGCUUUUAUGUUAAACAAACAAAAAUAAUUUUUUAAAAUUUUAUAAAAUUUUAUAAAAUAAGGAUGUUUGACAAGUUAUUUUGAAAUUGGUUUUUCUUUUAAAAAAAAAUAAUUUUUCUAUGUUGAUUUUGUAAAAAUAUUCUAAAUUUAAUUAAUAGAAAUUUAAUUGAGGUCUUAUAAAAAAUGAAAUUAGUUUUAAAUUAUAAAUAAAUUAAAAAUAGUAUAAUAUAUCAGCGUGGACCUAUUUUUUUUACGUGCGUCCUCACUCGACGAUGAGACUCGUUUUUUAUUUAUUUGGUGAAAAAUAUGAUUUUUAGAAAAAGAUUUGAAGUCCUCAUUGAUUUUUGUUUUAUUUUUCAAGGGAAAGACAAAAUAAAAAAUAAAAACCCUAAAUAUGAUUUCUGAAGGAAAAAUAGGUUUGUGAAAAAUCGAGUUUGGGUUUGGGGAUCAAGUUACUUAUUAGGAAGGUAUGGUAAUGAGUUAUAACACCCCUCUAAGCUCGUUUAUGUACGACCUCUACUAAAUGAAUUAAGGAAAUUGUGACAAUUAAUUAAUUAAUUAUAGAUACCAAGAAAAAUAAUCAUGUAAAUGAGUAUGUACAAGUCAAGGUGAAAAUUAAUAUACACAAAAAUAAUGAUGAAAUCUAAUUACAAGAAUACACAAAAUAAAUAACAAAAGAAUUAUGCAAAAAUAAUUUAUUGAACUAAAUAAAAAAUAUUAAAAAAAUAGUUUUCAAGAAAUUUCGAAGGAUUUUAUUAAAAAUGAUUUUUAAUUAAUGAUUUUAAUUUUUUUUAUUUACAAAAAAGAAGUUUCAAUUUAUUUUCAAUUAAUGAUUUGAUUCAAUUUCAUUUGUAUUUAAUUUUUUUUAAAAAAAAAGUUAUUUGCACUUAUUAUAUCAAAAGAAUUUAUUACAAAAUUUCAAUUUGGUAAUAAAAAUGAUUUUUACUUGCUUUUACAAAAAAAAUUACAAUUUUAUUUACGAAAGUAUUUCACUUUGUUUUAAUUUGAGAAAAGUGACUUAUACAAAUUAUUAAAAAGAAUAUAACUUUAUUUGCAAAAGAAUUUUUAAUUAAAAAUUAAUUUUUGGGACAACUUUAUUUACAAAAUAAUGUUUGGACAAUUUUUAUUAAACAAAUAAAUUUUUGGACAAUUAUUAUUAAAAAUAAUUUUUCAAAUUCUAUUAAAAACAAUUUUUUUGGAUUUUUCUAAAAGCAUUUUUUUGAAUUUUUAUUAAUAAAAAAAACUUUCUUUUAUUAAAAAGAAUAUUUUAAAAUUAUUAUUUUAUUAGAAUAUAUUUACUAAAUUAUUCCUCUUAUUUAAAUGACAAUUUUGAUUUGUUAAAUAUUUAAUUCUGUAUAUACUCAAUAAAUAUAUACAAACUAAUAUUUACAAGAACUAAUAGAAAUAAAAUCAAACAGAAGUGAGCAAUAAAACGUGUACCCAAAUAAGGUUACAACAAGCUUAAUGUCUCUCUACAACUUUUUUAUUCUUACUUUCUUCCAUGAAAUUUUGUGCUUCACGUGUUAUAAAUUUGUACUCAGCCAAUAGAAUUGCAGAAUAGGCCCAUGCAAAAACAAAAAUAGUUCAAAUGUAAAUAUCCAAAGGUGUACAAAAUCCUUAACAAAUAUUCAAACUCAAAUUCAAAUUUCAAAUUAGUUCGAUAAAUCUUGUCAAUCAAAAUGGACACAAAUUAACAAAUAUAACCUAACAAAAACAUCUCACAUGCUAUAAACCUUAAUCCAAAAAUUUCAAAUUAAUAACCAAAAUACAACACAAUUAGCCAAGCCCAAAAUAUCACAAAAUAAAAUAAAUUCAAUUAGGCCUAAAUUUAAUAUUUCAUAAUCCAAGCCUAAUUUAAUAUACACCAUAAUUGUCCCACAUCCAAAUUAAAUAGUUCAAAUUGGUGAAGCUCAUAUCAAAUAUUCAAGUCAUCAAUCAAAUUUCACCCACAUUGUGGACCCAAAAUCCAUACCUAUAUUAUGGGUCCAAAAUUCAUAUCAAUUAACAAGCCCACAUUAAUAAUACACAUGACCAAAGAAAAUAAUUUCCCAAGCCCAAUCCAAUAAGCCCAAAUAAAUAACAUUAGAUUCAAGUCAAAAUCAAUUACUAUGCAAACAAAAAUAAAAAAAUAAAGAUAAAAAAAUGAAAAUAAAAUAAAGUAAAAAGGAAAUUUACCCUUUUUUUUUAUAACUAUGGGUGGUAGGAUUGCUAGUCGGCAGUGACUGGCAGGUAAUGGCGGGUGGUGGCGGGCAGUGGUUGUCGGUAGUGGUGGGUGGUGGUUGGCCGGUAGUGGCCGUGGAGUGUGGGGAAGGGAAAAGGAAAGAAAAAGGAAGAGAAAAAAAAAUGAAGGAAGAUGGGGAGCGUGUGACAGUGGGGGUUUGUGGAAAAUGGCAGUGUAGAGAGAAGGACUAUGAGAAGAAGAAAAAAAAAAUGGAAGAGAAAAUGGGGACCAUCGUGUGUGAUAGUUGGGGGGAAGAAAAAAAAAAGAAAAAAGGAAGGGAGGAGAUGGGAGAGUUGACCGUGUUUGGUGUGUGGGUCGUGGAGCGGUUGUUGUGUUGGAAGGGAGCCUGAAGAAGAAAUGAUGGAGGAAAAAAAAGUGAAGAGAGGAACGUAGAGAAAGAUGAUAAAAAAAAAAAAAAAAAAAAAAAAACUUGGAGGGGGUAUGGGGAGUGGCUUAGACAUGUAGGAGAAGGAAAUGGGUAAGGGAAGUAGGUGGAGUGGGUAGAAUGAGGGGAAAGAGGAAGAGAGAAGAGAGAAGAGAGUGAAAAUAAAUAAAAUUAAAUUAAAAAUAAAAAUAUAAUAAUAAUAAUAAUAAUAAUAAUAAAUAAAUAAAUAAAUAAAUAAAAAUAAUAAUAAAAAUAAUAAUAAAAAUAAUUUAUAAAAUAAUAAAAACUAAGAAUUAAAGGGUGUAAGUGGGCUAAACAAUUAAGAUGUAAUCAAAAUUUAAAUCUAAGGAUAAAAUUGAGCUCAAUAUCAAUGUAAAAAUAAAAUUAGGACAAAUUUUGGGGUCUACAAUCGGUUUUCAUAUAUUAUUUCUUAUGGUGAUUAGAUCUAUUUACUAGGUUGUAACUUAAAAAAAAAAAAAAAAAACCUAUUAGUAAAUUCAAUGUUACUUGAUUUGAAGUUUAUUCUUUAAUAAAAAAAUUUAUAAAAAUAUAAGUAUGUAUAGAAAAAAAGUAGACUCAUUAAAACCCAAUUUUUAUCCAUAAAUUUUUAAUAUUAACCACUAUUUAAGUUUUAAGUUAUUUAAAAAAAUUACUAAACUCAUUAAUUAAUUUAAUGUAUUAAGUUUUGUUUAAUUUGGAUUUUAUUUGUCUAGUGAAAUAAAUAAAUAAAAAAUAUAGUUUCAUGUAGAAGAGAAACAAUAGAGUCAUUGUAGAUUAGAACUAGAAGUUAUAAAAAAUAUGUAAAAUAUAUAUAAUUAUAUAGCUGGAGUUUAUAUUAUAAAUUAUAAAGUUAAAAAAAAUAUAAAAAACUACCUUCAAUGUAAUUUCUAAUUUCUUUUAAUUAUAAUGUAUAAUCAAAAGUUAGACAAAACAAAAUUGUACACUCAUAAGUUAAAUAAUGAAUAUUUCAUAGCCUCAAAGGUGUAUACAAUUUUACACAUUUUUGUUAUGAUAAAAAUAAUCCAUAGCCAAAAACUAUGAAAGCGAUCAAUUCGUAAUUUUUAUUUUGUUAAUAUUACAUGAUGUUCAUGCAUUUUUUUAAACCAUAUUUAUAAUAAUCCUAUAGCGAUAAAAUAUAACAAAAUCUUAAAUCGUUAUAGUUUUAUUAUAGAAUAUUAACUGGAUAAAUAUUGUUAGAUAAUUUAAUUAAUUUAUUUUAAUAAAUUAAAAUAUUAUUCUAAUAAAAUUAUUUCAAAUAUUAUUCUAAUUUAAAAAUUACUAGACUGUUAAGUCUUGUUUAAUUUUGAGUUCAUUUAUAUAGUAAAAUAAAAUUGGAAAAUAUGAUUUCAUGUAGAAGAAAAAUAAUAGAGUUGUUAUAGACUAAUUUUCAUCCAUAAAUUUUUAAUAUUAAUUACAUCAUUAUUUGAGUUUUAAGUUAUUUCUAGAAAUUACUAAAUUUAUUAAUGAAUUCAACACAUUAAGUUUGGUAUAAUUUUAAGUUUAUUUGUCCAAUGAAACAAAAUUGGAAACAAUAAAGUCAUUCAAGUUCAAUUUUUGUCCAUAAAUUUAUGGUAUUAAUUGGAUCACUAUUUGCAUUGCAAUUUAUUUUUAAGAAUUACUUAGACUUGUUAAUAAAUUCAACGCAUUAAGUCAUACUUGAUUUGGUGAUUAUUUACUAAGUGAAAAAAAUUGUAAAAAUAUGAUUAUAUGCAAAGAAAAAACUAGCCAAGACAUUUAAAUGAAUUUUGGUGUAUGAUAUUCUAAUGUUAGUGAGUUUCAUGACUUUAUAGUACUAACUAAAUCAAUUUUUGACUUUUAAGUUAUUUUUAAAAAUUAGUAAAUUUUAUGUAUAAAGUAUAAUUUGAUUUAGAAUUUAUUUUAUCAAUGAAAAUUUUCUUAAAUUAAAUGAAAUUCAUUAAAACACAUGUAAUUUAAAAGAAUAUUAUAUUUGAAGAUUUUUAGUAUCGGUAUUAGAUCGUAGAAAGAGGUAAAGAAGAAUGAUAUCAUCUUCAAUCUUAUUUGCUUUUUAUAGUUUUUUUAAAUUCCUCUAUAUUUUUCUUUUGCUUUUAAAAAUUGAUGAAAACAAUUUCUACUUGUUUUCUAAAAUAUGUUUUUUAUUUCACUUUAUUUUUAAAAAUUACAAAUAGAAAACAACUAACAAACAAUUUUAUGAAUUUUUAAAAAUAGUUUUUUUUUUAAUUUUUAAAAACAAAAGUUAUUUUUUAAUGAAAUGGCCAAAUGGGCUAAAAACUUUUCAACAGCAAAUUUUGAGAAUUUGGGUCAAGUGCUAUGUGCUCUUGUACAAUCCUCCACUAUUUUUGGCCUUCAUGUCACCGUUGUCAACUUUUACUGUGAAUAAGUUCACGAGCUUAUCUUACUUUAUAUUCGAGAGCAAGGAACAAGAUCUUGAGAGAUGCUUGGUUUGUUUUUUUUUUUGUAUUAAAGAAAUAAAAGAGUAUUCACUUACUAUUCCAUUUUGUACUAAAAAAAUUUGAUAAGACAUUGAUAGGCAUGUAAAUAUUAUAACAUUUAAAUAAACUAAAAAUAUUUUUGUUAUAUUAUUUUAAUUUUAAUUUUUGAACUUUCAUAUUAACGUUCGUUUUAAUUUUUCAUAUGAUUUAAAAUUGAUCAUGGUUCUAACCUUUUACUAGGCUAAAAUCUUUAACUUUUUUAGAUACAUAAAAUAGAAAAUAAAAUAUAUUUUCAUAUAAAUUGUAUUAACAUUUCUUUAAUUAAUUUUUAUAUUUCUUAAAAUACAUAUAUCUUAAAAUACAUAUAUCUUUUUUAAAAAAUAAGUACAUCAUUUAGAAAAAUAGGUACAUCUAAUAUAAAAACAUGUACAUUUCAUUUCAUCGGGGAUUCUUAUCCUCAUUCAACCUAAUUCGGGUGUGGGAUUUCACUUAUGUAGGUCUCAGAAUGCAUUUGAGGUCUUCUUAUACCCUAUUCAACAUGAUAUAACUUUGUGUACAUGUUUUAAAAAAAUGUAUAAAAGUUUAGAAAAGUAUUUACAUCUAAUUUGAGUUGAAUCAUUCCCUUAUUCGACCUAUUUUGAAUCUAAAUUUUAACUUCUAUAUACCUCAUGAUGCAUUCCCAAACCCUAUUUGGCAUGGUAGAACCCUAGGUACAUAUGUUACAAAAAUAAGUAUACUCUUAAGAAAAAGUACAUCUUUUACAAUAAUAACUAUAUUCUUAAAUAUAUAUAUAUAUAUAUAUAUAUAUAUAUACAUUCGUAAGAAAAAUGCAUAUAUUUGAUUUGAGGUUAACCAUGAUCCAAUUCAACCUAAUUUGGAUAUAAGAUUUGACUUAUAUAUGCCUCAAAAUGUAUUUUAUGCCUUCCAAAACUUCAUGUAGCAUGGUAGAAGUAUAGGUUCUGAAAAGGUGAAUCUCAAUAGUGGAAUACACCUAAAGGGGGGUUGAAUAGGUGUUUUGACCAAUUGAACAAAAUCUCAACUCAAAUUAGUAAACCUUAAAACUUCUUGAAUAUUUUUCUUCUCUUCACAAAGUCUAAAAAACAAAUUAUAAAUCACAUGAAUAUAUGAAUGCAACAACACUCCCCAACAAUAUUCAAAUGAAAUUCACAUGCACAUGAUCUAAUACUCCUAAACCCAAAUCAACUUAAAACUAAAUUAUGAUAAAAACAAGAUCAAUAUACAUCAAAAUAUCAAUGAUUAACAAUCAGAAAUGACUUCAAAGAUAAUUCAUAGCCAUUUCUCUUUAUCAUUCAAUCAAAUACUAGACAAUCAAAAUUAUAAUAAAUUGUAGAAACUAAAAAAUGAUGCGAAGAAGAGAAAACGAGACAAUGAGACACCAUAAAUUUACAUGGAAAAUUUUUGAAGAGAUAAAAAACCAUAAGCCUACUACCAAUCAAAAACAUCCACUAUGAAGAAUAAAAACUAAAUACAAGGUUUUACCUAGCUCAAGCCAACUAAUCCUUCCCGGACCACUUGACUAGUACCUUCACUUUUAGUUUCUCACAUUCUUAUUUUAGAGCACAUUUGGAGUCUACACCAAGCUCGAUCUCGACCUCUUAUUGAUUUCACAUAAGAAAAAAAUGGGUUUUUGUGCAAAACCAAGAGAAUUAGAUAUGAAUGUUUCAAAAAUCAACCCAUGCUCAUUUUCAAAAAAUCCAUUUUAAAAAAAUUUCUUAGAAAACUUGGAUGGAUUUUCUUCGUAGGUAAACACCCUUAAAAUGGUGAGGAAAGAAAAAACUCUCUCACAACUAUUGUAGUCACCACUUAUAGAGAUGGAAGAGAUUUGAUUUUAAAUGAGAAAGAAACCCUUAAUCGAAGGGUUGAAAGUUGAUCUUAAAAAUAGGUUGGUUGGAUCAAUCUGCCUCUACACUUAGAUCAAUCCAAAAACAGGGGAACAAAAGCCUUGUGCUAAUAAUAUUUCUCCUUGUUUUCUUAACUCAUUUAAAGAUGAAAAAACAGGGUUGAUUCAUAUUCAAUCACCACACUCGACUAUAUACCUCAGCCUCUUAGCAAAGUUUUAAUCUUCAAAGGUCAAGUAGUCCGAAGAGGGAUUUGUAAACUGAGUUAGGGGACACUUAGGAAUUUUGUUUGAAAUUACCAACCUAGCUAAACACUCACAAUCUCCUCCUUUGGCAAUUCUGGGACAAAACUCUUUACAAUACGAAUGAGUACAAGUAAGUAAGUCCCACCCAACUCUCAUACAAGGCCACACACUCACUCAAAACCUCACCAAAGGUGCUACAAAUCCUAUAAAUAAAUCUCAAGAAAAAACUUUAGGAGCACUUGCACAUAUUACCAAGACACUUCCAUAAGUUUCGAAUGAAUUGAUACACAAAUAUCCACAUAUAUCCACAAAAUCACAUGUCUAAAGAUAGUUAAUAUGCAUUCAUGAGUUCAAAAACGUGUCAAAUAUCCAUCGAUAUACAAAAAGGGUGAUCAUGAUCAACAUAUCAAAUAUCCAAAGCAACAAAACACAAAGAAACCGUCAUGAUCAACUACAUGUCAUAUCAACAUCCAUGUAAAAUGUAAAAUGUUUCCUAAUUUUUGUCCCAGUAGGAGACAAAAGGUCAUAAUCUCCCAUUUUCUAUCUUAGAAAAAAGACAAAUGAAUGAGAAUUCAAUAGCAUAAUAUCUCACAUCCAAAUCAACAAACAUCCACUUUUCAACAAAAUGUCAAAUACCCAAAAAUCAAAUAUUCACAUAUUACCAAGUAUCCAUAUCAACAUUUCAGAAAAAAAAAAUUAUAGGAUACAAUAAUCUCCUCUUGACUCCCAUCACAAGAUAUAAGAAUCUCUCCCUGAAUCCUAUCACAUGGUUUCAAUUAAAAACUUUCAAAAAAUAUGCUUUAUCACCAUGAAAAUAGAUUUCAAGCAUGAAAAUUUAUGGAAACCACUCAAAAUGAACAACCAAAGCCUAGGAUUAGCAUUCCUAGAAACUAGGAACACUCCAAGGCAAAAAUGAAAUCUCAAACUAUUAAAACUAUUGUGAGAAGACUCCACACACAAAAAAUAAAUAAAUAAAAUCCAAAUGAGACUAAGGGCUGAUUGGAAUUUCCAGAAGUGUAGAUUGUGUUGUGUUGAUUGUGCUGUGAAAAACAUAGUCCUAAGGGUUGAUUGGAAUUUCCAACUGCUGGAACGGAAUCCCAACUACACAAGAUACAAUCUAGUGACGCACAUUGGAGGUCCUAGCCAACACAUACUAUGUAGAAGGCAAUUUCUGACAACACCGACGCACUAAGAAGAGACACACAGACCGACGACAUGAGUUGGACAACACAACAAUUCUAGGCUAUUCGACGAGGCUGUUUGGUGGGAUUGGCUAGACUUGAAACGCUCACCAGAUAGGGAAGUCUGACUAUAAAGGUUUCCAAUGGUAGAGACUUAUGACGGUAGUGGUCGGAAUGAUGAACCGACGAUGAUGGCUAAAGAGAAGCAUAGAGUAGAGAAGUUUCCUUCUUUAGAACAAAAGACCUAGGGCUUUUGAAAGAAAUGAAUUGGGAAAAACUGAUUUAGGGAUUUUGACUUUUUUACUUUUAGUUACGAAAAUACCUCUCAUCCAUUAAACCAUAUGAGCAUAACUAGUUGGGGGCAAAAAUGGAAAUUUUCACAAAUGCAUAAGUGGUAUCGAUUUUAGUGGAUUGAUCUAGCUUUCGAUUGUGCUCUCGAUGAUACACAGUCACAUAGGUUUGAACAUACCAAAUUUGAAAAAAAUGGUUAAGUGUGUGAGAGACAAGUACUAGGUGGUAUCGACCUUGGUGGAUCGAUCUAAGAUUCAUUCAAGGGCUCUCGAUCACUACAUUGUGCACACAAUGGAUCGAUCCACAAAUUCAAUAGAUCGAUCGACACCUAAUUGAAAAAUGACUUAGGCAAAAACUAUUGAAAAAUCACAAGAAAUACACCAAUAGGCUUUCCAAAAACUGAAAAUUGAUUGACCAAAGAUGAGAUACAAUAGGAUGGCAUACUUAUAUUUCAAUUAAUGAGUUAGAGUUGAUUCACAUUGAACAAAAAUGCUUCCAAGAACUUAACAAUGGACAAAAUUAAUAAACAUAGAGAUUGAAGUACUUUCCAAAUUUAUCAAAUGAAUAGGUAAAAAACAAAUGAUUAUCAACACUCUAACAAGGAAGCUUAAGCUAAAAAAAAAAACUCACUCAUGACACCAUAAAACGGUGAAAAUGUUAAAUAAUUUCCACUUAUAAACCUAUAUUCAUUUAUGAGCCAAAAAUCAUUUUCAAGAUACUCUUCCUUUCUAGAGAAAUUCAAGAUAAUGUUCCAAGAAGUCAAUUUGCAUCUCUCUUGGCUAGAUUUCUGUUUAACAUGACCUAAUCACAUCCCUUUAAUAAAAUUCAUACACUAUUUGCUUUUCAUAUUUAGCAUUGAAAGGAAUACAAAGCUAUAAGUUUUACCUUAAAGAUCAGUUUUUGACUUGAGGAUCUCUAAGGACGCCUUUACAACAUAACAACAUAAGAGAUGUCCCACUUUUGCAAGGGAGGCUUUUUAAUUCUUGAAACACUGCCAAAGAGCCAUAUCCAUUCCGGGAAACUUCAUAUUUUCUUUUUCUUUUCUUUUUCAUUUUUUUUAAAAAUUUAAUUUCAAAGAGAGGACAAACAAUCAAAGAUUGAUAUUCUCAACCUCUCAAGGAUAUUCCAGGUGUCUUUACUCACUCUUUAAUGCUCAUUAAAUGGGUAUAAGUUUACAUUUAGACUUUAAAGAGCAUUAUUCACCAUUUAUGCAAACACAAGGUCUAACAAUGAGCUUUUUCUCACUUAAUAGAAAUGAAGCUAAUCAUUUGUAGUUUAUCUAACCAAAUCAAAAUAGCAAGGAUUCAAUAUCAUGUUUAUCAAACAAGCCAUGGAGAUAAAGACAUCUUGAAGCUUUUAAGAUCAUGAUGAGUUAAUUUAACUUUUAAACAAAAUGAAUAAGCAUGUCACUCUCAUGAACUCAACAAUUGUUGAAAAUUUAUGAAAAAUGGAGAAAAGAUUGAACCAAAACAAAAAGAACAUCAAGUUGAUGAUAUUUGGGAACUUAGGAAGACAACUAGGACUCAAGAAUAUGCAAGAGGAGUCCUAGACAAGUUUUAGAGGCAAUUAAAUAGAGAGUAUAUAAACCUAUGGGGCUCCUAAGUGAUUCAAACCUAGAAAUGUCCAAAGGUUUAGUAACAUUGUUAGCAAUUUGACUUUCUAUAGGGAAAAACUCUAGUGAAACAACCUUGUCUUCUACCAAGUCUUGAAUGCAGUGAUGCUUAAUGUCCACAUGUUUUUAUCUAGAAUGAAGAACACGGUUCUUUAACCUAUCAAUAACAUUGGCAUCAUCAAAUUCCUCCCCAUCAAUCUUAACUUUUACAAUGGGAUGCUCUUUUUCAUUUUGCAACAAUCUAUGUUGUAGCAAGUGAUUAACACAUACAAUUUUAGAACUUCCACACACAAGAGAAGAGGAUGAAGGAGAUUUUUUACUAACAACAUAGCACUUAUCACAAAUUCUCAAGCCCAUCAUCACACAUACAUCAUUCAAGUUAAACACCUUGCAAAAAUUUUGUGAAAAUUUUACAUUGAACUCAUUCCCACACAUUUGGCUUAUUCUAACUAAGUUAGCCUUUAAACCUUCAUAUAAGACCUCUUCAAGAUUAGGAAUUUCGGGGGCACAAAUGGUACCUUUGUCUUUCACCCUAGCCACAUUACCAUAUCUAAAUGUCACAUUUCCUCCAUCAAAUUCAGUGAAUGAAGUGAACAAAGAUUUAUUUCCAGUCAUAUGAUGUGAGCAUCUACUAUCAAGAUUCCAUGAGUGUGACUCACUAGCUCUAAGUACGUUAUGGACAACAAAACACUUCAACUCAUUCAUUUACACCCAAAUUUGUUUAAUAUUUGAGACUUGUCUUUUCAUUCAAAGUGCUUCCUUUCAACUCACCAUUAUGAGGGAUCUUUGACCACUUCUUGGACACUCUCUUAUUCUCAUUCAAUAACCUAUUCUUCAAAGUAUAACAUUCAUUCAUUAGGUUGGUAAAUUUCUUUUGAAAAUUAUCAGACAAUCUUGCAUAACAUCUAUAAAAAAUGUGUCCCAUUUUGCCACAAUGAUUGCAAUGAAACUUGAUUUGAGAAUGAGUUUUCUUAGGAGAUUAUUUUUCACAAGGCUUAACAAAAAUUGUUUUACCACUACUUGGAGUAGUAUUUGCAUCAACAAAUCCUAAGCCUUGUUUAUCAAAAAAUUUACACCCUAAAUUGAUCAACUCAUUAAGUCUCUUAGAGCUAGGAUGUGACUCUUCCUUCUUAAGACUUAACCCAUCCUUGAACAUUUGAUUCACUUUUCAAUACAUAAUAUUUUUUCUUCACUUCCAAAUGUUCAUUUUCAAGAAAUCCAAUUUUGUCAAGCAAAACCUUAUUUUCUCCCUUCAAGACAUCAAUCUCAUUGAUUAGAAUAUUCUUAGAAGCCUUCCACUUGACUUGUUCUUGUUUAAGGCUCAAGCACUCCUUAUACAAAGUCUCAUAUGCCGUGUCAAAACUCAUGUCAUCAUCAUUGGAGUCACUUGACUCAUGACUCACUUAUCACUUAAGACCUCUUUCUUGAGUGGUUUCUCAUUGACACUUGCAACAAAGGCUAUGAAGUUAGUGCAUUUUUCACUUCCAUUGGAUUCUUUUUCACUUGAUUGACAAGAUUCUAUGUUGCUUCAAGUGACUUGCAUGACCUUCUUUCCUUUUUUUCUUUGAGGGACAUUUGGCGGCAUAAUGUCCAUUUCCUCUACAUUUAAAGCACUCAAUCUCCAACUCUUUUUUCACACAUUUCUCCAUAUCCUUCUUUUUUUUCUAAUAGAGUUCCUCCAUUUUUACCAUCAUUUGAUUCUUUCUUGGAUUUUAUGAAUUUCAUGUACUUCUUAAUUUUUUUAGUAAACUUAGUAAGCACACCAUUUGAUAUUUUCUCAUCAUCCUCACUUUCGGAACUUAGGGACUCUUCUUUAAUAGUUUUUAAAGCAAUUCCCUUAGCUUUCCUAGGUGAUACAAGCGUCAUCUCAAAGGUUUGGAGGGAACCUACAAGUUCAUCUAUCUUCAAGGAAUCCACAUCCUUAGACUCUUCAAUGGUGGUAACCUUAGCUCUAAAUCUCUCUCGAAGAGAUCUUAAAAUUUUUCUAACCACCUUAGUGUUAGAGACGGAUUCACCUAGAUUGAAGUUAGAAUUCACUAUAUCCAUCAAUUUUGCAUGAAAUUCUCCAAAAGUUUCAUGGUCAUCCAUCCUAAUGGUCUCAAACCUAGAUGUCAACAUUUGAAGCCUGGACAUUUUUACGACAUUAGUUCCUUCAUGAGUCACUUGGAGGAUAUCCUAAGCCUUCUUUAACCAAAGUGCAUGUGGCAAUCCUAUGAAAUUCAUUCGUACUAAUGGCAUUGAAGAUGGAGUACAUGGCUCUAGCUUUAUUCUCACUUGCUUCAUUUUCACUUCUAUCACAUUCCAAUUUUGGCUUGAUAACAUUUGUUAGUUUACCUUCUCUAUCUAACACCUUAGGUGGAGACUAACCAAAUUCAAUGACAUUCCAAACUUUUUCACUUUGCAUUUUGAGAAAAUAUUGCAUUCUCACUUUCCAAUGAGAAUAAUUUUCACCAGUUAAGAAUGGUGGUCUCCUAAUGGAAGAUCUCUCUUAAUGAGGUUCCAUGAUUGAGAUUUAAGGACCGAAAAUGAUUUUUUCUUUAAAAACCCUCUCUGAUACCAAUUGAAAAGGUGAAUCUCAAUAGUGGAAUACACCUAAAUGGGGGUUGAAUAGGUGUUUUGACCAAUUUAUCAAAAUCUCAACUCAAAUUNNNNNNNNNNNNNNNNNNNNNNNNNNNNNNNNNNNNNNNNNNNNNNNNNNNNNNNNNNNNNNNNNNNNNNNNNNNNNNNNNNNNNNNNNNNNNNNNNNNNAAAAAAUGCACACUCUCUCACAAAGAAUGUAAAUUUUUCAAAAAAAAAAAAAAAAAAAAAACUUUCUUUUAUGGGGGGGCGCGGUGCUAUACAUUCUUAUAUAGGUAUAUAUAUAAAAAUAUAGAGACCUCACAGAGAAUGUGAGGGGUUCCUGUUCCUUGUGGGUCACUUCUAAAUCCUACACACACCCCUAAGAAACACACACACACUUUUUUUAUGGUGAACCACGACAAUAUACAUCCUUAUUUGGAUCUCUCUAUAAACAUAUAGAAGUGUGGGAGUGUGUGAGGCUCUCCCUUAUUUGAGUGGGCGUUUCUAAAACCUAUAUACAAAUUUUUUUACAUAUAGAAAUAUGAGAGGUACACGUCUAUUAUCUUUUCAUACCAUAUCUAUAUCACUCACUCUCUCUCUCACGUUUGUUUUGUGUGUAUAUAUAUAUAUAUAUAUAUAUAUAUAUAUAUAUAUAUAUAUAUAUAUAUAUAUAUAUAUAUAUAUAUAUAUAUAUAUAUAUAUAUAUAUAAAGUAUAUCCUUUUUAGGUUGUGCCUUUGAAUUAUUCCACUUNNNNNNNNNNNNNNNNNNNNNNNNNNNNNNNNNNNNNNNNNNNNNNNNNNNNNNNNNNNNNNNNNNNNNNNNNNNNNNNNNNNNNNNNNNNNNNNNNNNNCAAAGAUGAUUCAUAGUCAUUUCUCUUCAUCAUUCAAUCAAAUAGUAGACAAUCAAAAUUAUAAUAAAUUCUUGAAACUGAAAACUGAUGCUAAGAAGAGAAAGAGAGACAAUGAGACACCAUAAAUUUACAUGAAAAAUCUCCGAAGAGAUAAAAAACCAUGGGCCUAUUACUGAUUGAAAACAUCCACUAUGAAAAAUAAAAUCUGAAUACAAGGUUUUACCUACCUCAAGCCAACCAAUCUUUCCCAAACCACUUGACUAGUACCUUUACUUUCAGCUUCUCACCUUCUUCUUUCGAGGCACACUUGGAGUUUGUACCAAGCUCAAUCUCGACCUCUUCUUGAAUUCAUACAAGAACAAAAUGGGUUUUUGCACAAAACUGAGAGAAUGAGAGAUGAAUGUUUCAGAAAUCAACCCAUGUUCGUUUUUAGAAAAUCCAUUUUUUUAAAAAAAUUAUUGGAAAACUUGGACGGAUUUUCUUCAUAGGUAAACACCCUCCAAAUGGUGAGGAAAGAAAAAACUCUCUCACGGCUACUACAGUCACCACUUCCAGAAAUGAGGGAGAUUUGAUUUUAAAUGAGAGUGAAACCUUAAUCCAAAGGUUGAAAAUCGAUCUAAAAAACAUGUUAGUUGGAUCAAUUUACCCCUAUACCUAGAUUGAUCCAAAAACAGGGGAACAAAAGCCUUGCACCAACAAUAUUUCUCUCAGUUUUCUUUACUCAUUUAAAGAUGAAAAAUAGGGUUGAUUCACAUUCAAUCACCACACACUCAACCACAUACCUUGACCUCUUAGCAAGUCUUAAUCUUCAAAGGUCAAGUAGUUCGAAGAGGGAUUGGUAAACCAAGUUAGGGAACACUUAGGAAUUUUUUUCGGAAUUUCCAACCUAGCUAAACACUCACAGGUUCAUUUUUUUAGAAACAUAUAACACCUUAAGAAAAAUAUGUACAUUUGAUUUCAACUUAACAUGACAGAGUCACACUCAUUUGGGUCUAAGAUUUGACUUAUGUAUGCUACAAAAUGUAAUUAAGAGCUUCCCAAACCUCAUUUGACAUGGUGGAACCCUACCUAAGGUACAUCUUUUACAAAAAUACAUACAUUCUUAACAAAUAUAUAUAUAUAUAUAUAUUUUGAAGAAAAAUACUUACAUUUUUUUCAAGCGAACUGUGUGUUGGCGUCGUAGAUCUAAGGAACGGAAACAAUACGAAUUUAUUUAUUUAUUUUUUUAAAUUGAUCUUUAGGGUUAAAGUGCUAACCUUUAGGUUUGGAUGUUUCAGACCUUAAAUUCCAAGUGUUGAAGAUGACAUUGAAGUUGUUGGAAGUCUCGUAAACCCAUGGUCUUUUGCUUGAUGACUCAACUUUAUUCUUGGCACAUUUUUGAUAGGAAGGAAAGAAAGGUGGAGGCUAGAGCUCUCUUUAUCUCUAAAUGGUGGAAGGAAAAAGUGAUGAAGACUCUAACCCCUAGGGGGUAUUUAUAGGGUUCCUAACUAAGCUUAAGUGACUUGAGCCCACAUGGGCUUGGGUAACUUAAUUUAGGCCAAAAUGGAUCCUAAUUGAUUAAUUAACCCAAUAGGGCCUACUAAUUAAUUAAUUAGCUCAAUCUAGAGACUUUGUUCACUUAUCCUUGUGCAAUCUUGUAUAAUUACCAAAACACCCUUAUGCACAAAAGUAAACCUAUAGUCAAUUCGACCCUCAUAACUAUGCCAAAAAGAUAUAUAAGCUCAGAGCGGGGACCACUAGGAUCCAUAAGAGUACUAACUCCCUCAGGAUCCAAUUAUGAAGUUGAUUCAACAUCUUAUUACAAAGAAUCAACCAAACUCCAAUAUUCUAUGUAAAUAACAACAAGACACUACGUGCUCGGGUCUAUGACCUAGUAUCCAUUGUGUUCAGUCUUCCCAUGAACUGGUGUUUUAGUCUAACAAGGUGAAAGCUAUCAACCUUUCAAGACUCUCUACCAUCCUUGUGUUACAAAUCCUCCUAUUGUAUAUUCAAUUGACAUGUCUUAGCUUUCAAAGAGCUUAUGUCAAGUUCUACUUAAGGAACUAUUAUGACCAUAGUUUCCAUGAACACAUCCCCUUAAGAUCACCCAAGGGGACACAUUGUCUCAAUCCCAUGAGAUAUCAUGGUGUCUAUUGAGAAUGCCUAUUGUUACCGACUUCCAUUAACAGUGACCCAAUCCAUAGGGAAUAUAUGAUCAACUUACGAUCUCACCCAUAGGUAAAAGUCAUUGCUAAUUUUAGUACAAUCUCAAUAUUCUCUCAAGGUUGAGAGAUAACACAAUGAAGUAUCUUGGUGAGGUCAUGACUACUUGAUAGUCUUAAGUCAUGACUCAUCAUAGGUCUUGUCCAACGUGUAAUCAUACACAGUAGUGUACUCACCAUGGGAAACCCAUCCCAAUAACGAAGACCAACCAUCCCUCCAAUUAGGAGGUGGUGCACUACAACCUCUAAUGGGUUGCCUAGACCCAUAAACCGGUUGUGAACAAGUCAAUUAUUUGCAAGGAACCCAUGACUUAAAGAUCUUCUAUGCAACUCCUAAUGCACCUAAGUCAUGUACAAUGCAAAAUAUGUUGACAAGACUUCUCAUAAAAUAUAAUACAUGGAAUAAAGAUAGAUAAAAGUGAAAUGGGAACAUCAUUAAAUAAAUAAGGAAUUUCAAAUUUAAUACACCAUGUUAUGCUUUUAAGAGCUCUAUCUUAAGACUAUAAUCCUAUUUGACCUUAUUUAGGUCUAGGUAUUCACUUAUGGAAGCCUGAGAAUGAAUUAAAGGUCUUUCCUUACCUUGUUAGGCUUUUCUAAACCAUAAGAACAUCCUUAAGAAAAAAUACAUAUAUUUUUAUGGAAAACAUGUACGUUCUUAAAAAAACAAAAUAUGUGCGUUUUUUUUAAAGGAGAUUGUGACCUUAUUUUGCCUUAUUUAGGUUUUAAUAUUAACUUAUGGAAGCCUUGUAAUAAUUUUGAGGCUUCCCAUUCCUCGUUGGUCAUUUUUAAAGUCUACGUACAUCUUUAAGAAAAAUAUGCACAUUCUUAAACAAAGUAUGUAAAUUCUUCAAAAAAAAAAAAAAAAAAAACCUUUUCUUUUAAGGUGGACCAUGGUUCUAUUCAUUCUUAUUUAGGUCUAAAUAUUAAAUUAUAGAAGCCUCAUAAUGAAUUUGAGGUCUUCCUGUUCCUUGUAGGUCAUUUCUAAAUCCUACAUACAUCCUUAAGAAACAUACAUGCAAUUUUUUUAAGGUGAACCAUGACAAUAUACAUCCUUAUUAGGAUCUCAAUAUUAACAUAUGGAAGUGUUGGAAUGUUUGAGGCUUUCCCUUAUUUGAUUGGGCAUUUCUAAAACCUAUGUACAAUUUUUUUAACAUAUGGAAAUAUGAUAGGUACAUGACUAGUAUCUUUUCAUACCAUAUCUAUAGCAUUCAUUCUUACUAUCAUGUUUGUUUUGUGAUUAUAUAUAUAUAUAUAUAUAUAUAUAUAUAUAUAUAUAUAUAUAUAUAUAUAUAUAUAUAUAUAUAUAUAUAUAUAUAUAUAUAUAUAUAUAUAUAUANNNNNNNNNNNNNNNNNNNNNNNNNNNNNNNNNNNNNNNNNNNNNNNNNNNNNNNNNNNNNNNNNNNNNNNNNNNNNNNNNNNNNNNNNNNNNNNNNNNNUCAAAAAAAAAAAAAAAAAAAACCCUUUCUUUUAAGGGGGGGCACGGGUCUAUUCACUCUUAUUUAGGUGUAAAUAUAAAAAUAUAGACGCCUCACAAAGAAUGUGAGGUCUCCCCGUUCCCUGUGGGUCACUUCUAAAUCCCACACACACCCCUAAGAGACACACACGCACUUUUUUUAAGGGGAGCCACGACACUAUACACCCCUAUUUGGGUCUCUCUAUUUACAUAUGGAGGUGUGGGAGUGUGUGAGGCUCUCCCCCAUUUGAGUGGGCGCUUCUAAAACCCAUGUACACUUUUUUUAACACAUGGAAAUAUGAGAGGGACACGUCUAGUGUCUUUUCUCACCCUAUCUAUAGCACUCUCUCUCUCUCUCACGUGUGUUUUGUGUGUAUAUAUAUAUAUAUAUAUAUAUAUAUAUAUAUAUAUAUAUAUAUAUAUAUAUAUAUAUAUAUAUAUAUAUAUAUAUAUAUAUAUAUAUAUAGAUAUAUCCUUUUUAGGUUGUGCCUUUGAAUUAUUCCACUUCUAAUGGUUUGAAUUGUUUUUUCUAUUCUAAUGACUAUAAUUACCAUGGUACCAAGAAUUAUGUUUACCACGACCAUGAUUGUGUCCUUAGCCUUGUUCACGUCCAAGUCCAACUCAAUGUCUAGGAGCUUGGACGGAUGUGACAGUUGCUUCUAGCAAUGACACAUACCUAAUAGUAUGAGGUUGAUGAUUCUUCGGUAGAAGUUCAUUAUUUUGUUUAGCCAUAAGAAGACAUUAAACUAAUUCAAAAUAUUUAGUGAAAUGAUGUUCUUGAUAUCGUUGCCAUAGGAGUACAUUCGAGGCAUGAAAAAUGGUGUUCAUUAUUCUUUAAUGAUUUUUUCUCCAUAUAAAUUGUGAACAACUUUUGAAUAAAGUCGAGUUGUGGUCAUUGACAGACUUGAAAUUUUGUAAUCUCAAGUGCAUCUAAUCAUGAUGUGCUUUUGGAAGGAUUACAAUCUCGUGGUGGCCAUAUCAUUAUGUUAUAUUAUUCCAAAGGAUCAAAGUAUCAUUCCAUUAGAUUAUUUCAAAGGAUGAAAAUUCUUUGAUUGUAAGGAAUUCACCUUUUAUUCCUUCAUCAAUGUGAUAAUGAAGGAAUAUUAAUGCUCUAGUACGAUCUUGUGAGGAUGCCUCAUUUUAUUUUUUAAUGGUCUUUUCAAGAUUCAUAUUGUUUAGGUGAAUUUUAGCAUCUAGAAUCCAUAUAAAUAGUUUGCCUGAAAUAGGGAGUGUAACAAACUCAAACUUGGUAAGAUUUGACAUUAUUUGAAAACUAUAUUUGAAAUAAUUUAAUUGGAAUAAUAUUUCAAUUUACCAAAAUGAAUUAUAAAUAAAUGAAUAAAAUUAUCUAACAAUAUUUUAUCAGGUUAAUAUUCAUUAAUAAAAACAUAACGAUUUAAGAUUUUGUUAUAUUUUAUCUCUAAAGGAUUAUUAUAACUAUGGUAAAAAAAAUGCAUGAACAUCAUGUAGUAUUAACAAAAUAAAAAUUACGAAUUGAUAGCUUACAUAGCUUUUGGCUAUGGAUUAUUUUUAUCAUAACAAAAAUGUGUAAAUUUGUAUAUAUCUUUAGGCUAUGAAAUAUUCAUUAUUUAACUUCUAACUAUACAAUUUUGUUUUGUGUAACAUUUGGUUAUAUCAUUAUAAUUAAAAGAAAUUAGAAAUUACGUGUAAGUCAUUCUUUAUAUUUUUAUAACUUUAUAAUUUCUCAUAUAACCUUUGGCUAUACAAUUGUACAUAUUUUACAUAUUUUUUUAUAACUUCUAGUUGUGAUUUUUUUUCAUAAUUUUUGUCUAUAAAAAAAAUAUUUUCAAGUUUCUUCAUCGAAAAAAGGAUAAAUUAAAUAGAAAAUAAUACAAAAGUAGAAGUUUAUCACAUACCUUUUAGAGGAGAAAAAAGAUAUUUUAUGAGAAUAAGUUUGUCCUUUUAGUGUUUGAAUCUUAUACAAAAACUUAUAAUAAGAGUUUUCUUUUGGAGAGACUAGAAUUAGAGAAGAGAUAGAGUUCUAAAAUAACUUUGAGGUAUCCAUUUCAUUGACCCAAGUUUCCUAUUUAUAAGAGUUUGAAAAAACUAGGAUUAAUUAUAAUAUUUAAUUCUUUAUGGGGAAAAAGUAAAAAAUAAAAAAGGCUUUUAAUCAUUAAUUAAGAGUACUUGCUUAAAUACAAAAUUUCACAAAAAUUUAAACUAAAUUCCUUUAAAAAAGAAUAGAUAACUUGUUUUAAAAAAUAGUUAAACUAUGUUAAUUUUAUAUAAUUUGAGUGAGAAAUAAAUUUAUUAUAAAUUGACAAAGUUGUCAUUCACAAAAAGCAUCAAAUAUAUUUGAUUUUUUUUUUCAUUUUCAUUUUUCAUUUUUUUAAGGAAAAAUCAGAUUUAAAUUUUUUUCAUAAAUUGAUAGCUAAAAGAUAAAUUUACAAAAUUUCAAAUCCCCACAUGUUUCCAUUAUUUUUACCCCAUAAAUUAUCCCAUCCUUAAUAAGAUUGAAUUUUGCAAAUUAUUAUUGAUUACUCAUUCAAAAAUAAAAAUAAAUUACACUAAAAAUCAUAAAAUUUAAAUUAGAAAAAUAUUUAAUAUAAAUUUUAAAAAUUCAGCUUUAUAAAAAAUAAAAAUAAUUAUCAAUUCUAAUAAGAUUUUUUUAAUCAAAAUUCUAAAGCAUAAUUCACAUUCAUCUAAAUAUUUAUUAGAAUUAAUAAUUUUUAAAAAUAUAAAUUAAAAUUUGAUACCCCUUCGGAGAUAAAAUUCCAAAAAUCAAUGAAUUAAUUUAGAAAAGAAUACAUAUUUCAAUCUCAAAUCUUCAAAUCUAAACAUAUACUAACUUAGAAAAGUUCUAAUAGUUUCUAACAAGUCUAAGUGGGUAUUUGGUAAAUCAAUUUAAUAACUUAAUUCAAGUUAUUAAAUAAAUUAAAUAUAGUUGGUAAAAUAAUUUAAUGGUAUGACUUAAAGUAAAAAACAACUUUAAGUAAUAAGUAAAAAUAAUUAAUUUAUUCUUAAAUUCAUGUUUUCAUUUUAUCUUUUUACCCUCAUUUAUCUUAGUUCCACGAUUUAUUUUGCUAUUAUACAACUUCCAUCAUUACUUGAUCUCAUUUACCCUCAUUAUAAUUUAUGGGGGUAAGUAUAUUAAUUUGAUGAUUUAGAAUAAAUUUUAAAUUAAUUUUAUUAAAAAAUCUUAAUAUUUAAAGUAAAAAUUAAGUAAUAAGUUUUAAGUCAAUAACUUCAAUAUAAUUUUACUUAAAAUCAACUUAAGUCAUUGAGUAAUAAUUAUUGAGUUUUACCAAACACCCCAUAAUUAUACUUAUUAUCAUACUACCAAUUUCUUAUCAAUUACAUAAUUAUUUAUUAUAAAAUUUUAAUAUGUUAAUGAAUUAUGAUAUUUAAAUAUUUAAAAAUAUGUUGAUUGCAAACUAAUUUAACAAGAAAUAAAAUAAUAUUAUUUUGUAAAUAUUUUUGUAAUGUAAAAGAUAAGUAAUUUAAUAUUUUUUAACAUUUACUAAUAAUUAAAAUAUAAAAAAUUUAAAUAUUUAACAAUACUUAAUUUAUUCAAAUUUAAAACAAAUUUAGAUCUUAGAUAAAAAUACAAUCACCACUGAAAUUUUAAAUAUUUAAAAUACACAUAAAGUUUAAAUAUUUAUUUAAUUUCAGGAAUCUAAGAACUAAGGAAGGGACCAAUAGUGACUUGUCGAUCUAAAAGUAUGCAAGUUCUAUUUUCUUUUCCCUACAAUAUCAUUUUUUUCCUUGCAACAUCAUUUUUGUGGUGGAAAUUAUGCGGAGGACCAGUGUACUUAAUUGACAGGGCUGGCGAAAGCGAUGACGUGGAAUGAUCAAAGCAAUGAGAUGUCGUGGAAGCAACCAACUAUCGGGACGCUUCUAUAUUUUACCAUGCCAUAACAAAAGUUUCCAUAAUUCGCAAGUUCUGGAGAGAUACGAAACCGAGAUAGAAUAUAAUUUAGAAAGGAAAAUGAAAAUGAAAGCUGAGAUAAGGAAUGAGCAUCACCACCUCCUAGAAGUAUCCAAGGGUUUAACCCACUCUCUGAAAUUUGCUAUAAAUACUCAGCAAUUUCCCGUGUUGUUCAUCAAUACUUAAAAGAGUUUGAAUUUAUCAAUCACAUUAGUAGCAAUGGCAGACGAGAUUAUCGUGUUGGAUUUCCGGCCUAGCAUGUUUGGUAUGAGGGUCAGAGUUGCCCUGGCAGAGAAGGGUCUCAAGUAUGAAUAUAGAGAGGAGGACCUGUGGAACAAGAGCCCUUUGCUUCUUGAGAUGAACCCAGUUCAUAAGAAAAUCCCAGUUCUGAUCCACAAUGGAAAGCCCAUUUGUGAGUCUCUGAUAAUAGUUCAGUGUAUUGAUGAGGUUUGGUACGAUAAAUCUCUGCUUUUGCCCAGUGACCCAUACUAGAGAGCUCAGGCCAGGUUCUGGGCGGACUACAUAGACAAGAAGGUAUGCCUUUGCUGUUGAUUUAAAGCAUUCUUUUCCAUUGAUUCAUGGCGAUUGACUCAGAUUUUGAUUAUGGUGAGGGAUUUGUCCAAAAUGCUGGGUUUCUUCACACGUUCCCUUCUGAUAUUGAGUUUUGUGGGCUUUGGGGUUCCAAACUAGAACUUUUACUGAUUCUCCUUGCUGUUUGUUCAACAAGACUAUACUCUGCAUUUCUGAUAUGGGUUUAAAUUUCUUGUUUAUGUUGAAUACGAAUUCUGUUCGUUCCAUCAGGAAAAACAGAUCUCAAGAAUACCUUUUUUCCCCAAGCAAGGCGAAUACAUAAACCAGAUAUUUAAAGAAAGGUGUUUGGUUUUUUGUUAUCUUGCUGUUCAACAUCUUGCACAACAGUUGUUUUAAUAUAUGUUCUGUUUCUUUGAUCUCUUUCUUCUCAUUUUCUGAAACCCAAUUUGAGGGGAAAAACUUCAGCAAAUGAUACAUUCUUUCAGCUGAUUCUGAUCUUUUUUCUUCCACCGGCACUUCAUUUUAUUCUUAGCAAAUGAUAUUUCUAUGCGGAAGAGUCCUUAAUAAACUUGUCCAACUUUACAGAAUUUGAAACUUGAUGAAAUUCUCCAAAAAAAAUAAUCCUUCUCUCUUUGACUCCAUUAUUUUCCACAGCUCUAUGAACUUGGAAGGAAGAUAUGGUCAACCAAAGGAGAAGAGCAGGAAACAGCCAAGAAGGAAUUCAUAGAGUGCCUUAAGCUUUUGGAAGGAGAGCUUGGAGAGAAGCCUUACUUCGGUGGUGAAAAAAUUGGGUUUGUAGAUGUGGCUCUGGUGACCUUCUCUUGCUGGUUUUAUGCAUACGAGACCUUUGGCAACUUCAGCAUAGAGGCGGAGUGCCCCAAGUUGAUCGCUUGGACCAAGAGGUGCAUGGAAAGGGAGAGCGUGUCGUCUUCUCUUGCAGACCCCCACAAGGUCCAUGGCUUUGUCGUGGUGUUGAGAAAGAAGUUUGGUAUAGAGUAGAAGGGGCACAUGGGUCCUCUCUCGAAGACCCCGCAAGGUCCAUGACUUUGUCACGUGGAUGAGAAAGAAGUUUGGUAUUGAAUAAAAGGGAAAUAUCACGGUCUAUGCUCUAUUGAGUAGUGUUGUAUUGGUAAUGUAAGAGGAGUGUUUGCUUAAGUUUGCUAAGUGAUAUGGGUUUGCUGAGCUAUGUUGUUGGAAAUAAAUGUUUUGAAUUUGUUUUGGACUAGAGACGUGUUCCUGUAUUAAAGAAAUAAAAGUCUUUGACUACAUUUCCAUCGUGUCCACAUGAACAACUAUUAAGACAAAUUGGUUAAGACAUGCCCUAGAUAGAAAUAGAUAGAAGUGAGUCAUGAAAUGCACAUAUCUAACCUGCUCUUAUUACCAUAUUUUUUUUUUUUUAAAAAAAACUUUGAUAUGAGAAGUCAAAGAGCAUGUCGUUGUUGAUUUUUUUUUCUUUUUCACAAGAAUAUAUAUAUAUCUUCCAUAAAAUUAUCUUCAUGAAAAUUUUCUAUUUUCAAUUUUUUUUCUCUAUUCCAUUUUCUCAUAUUUAUUGAUUUUAAUUAUUUAUAGAUGUUUUAAAUAUAAAAUAAUAAUAUAAAAUAAAUAAUUAAUAAGAAAAAUUUUAAUAUAACAAUAAAUAAAUAAAAUGUUGAAAGUAAUAUUAUGGUAGGAAGGAUGUAUCACUCUUUUUUGGUUUAAACUAAGAUAUGUUACCAUCAUUUAUGUGCUAGAUGUCUUAUUAAUGGUGAAAUAACGUGAAUUCAAAGGGUGUUAAUGUAACAUUGAUCAACACAACCCUUGAAAAAAUGAAUACCACUCUUUUAUAAAUAAAAAACACCACUAAAUUGUAUUAAAAGUAUCAUUGUAGUGUGAAUGUUGUACUAUUCUUCUUUGGUUUAAGGUAUGUUUCCAUUUGUUAUGUGCUCAACGUAUUAGGUAAUGAUGAAAUAACGUGAAAUGAGUGAAUGUUAUUAUGCAACAACACCGAUCAACACAACCCUUAGAAAAAGAGGGUACCACUCAUUUAUGAAAAAUCUACUAUGUUAAAAGUACUACUAUGGUGGGAAGAAUGUAUCACUUGUCUUUAAGUUCUACCAUGGUAGGAAAAAUGUAUCACUCUUCUUUGGUUUACGGCGAGGUUUGUUACUAUUCAUUACAUGCUCAACGUCAUAUGUGAUGAGGAAAUAAUGUGAAUUGAGAUGGUGUUAUUUCACUAUAACACUGAUCAACACAAAUCCUUGGAAAAAAGGGUACUACUCUGUAGACAUAAAAAAAAUUAGUGGAUUAAAUUACCACUAAUUUGGUCUUCAAAAUGAAUAAAAAAAAAAAUAUAUAUCCUCUUAUGGAUAAGUUUCCUUAAUCUCCAACUAUAAAAAGGAUAAUAAUAAUAAUAAUAAGAAAAUUAUUAUUAUUAUUAUUAUUAUUAUUAUCUUGUUGAUAAAACCUCUUGGGAGAAGAAAAUUUGCUAAAAUCAAGGAACUAAAUCCCUUGAAUUAAGCAACUAAACUCCGAGAAUUUGAAAUUCAAAUUCCAUAUCUUCACCUAUAAAUAGAGGUGUCUUCUUUCAAGAAAGGAGAUGAAGAAAUUGAGAAAUAAAAAAAAAAUUCAGAAAGGAAAAUCCUAAGGAGAAAAUCCAAAGGCAAUUUUGUACAGGAAAAAAAGGUUUCAUAACAAAAGAAAAAGUUUCAUCAAAUUUCUCUGCAAGUUUGGUAAAUGGUAGAACUGCUAAACGCAUUCUUUGCCAUUUAACGAGUUCAUUCGGGAAUAAGCCACUUGUGACCCUCGAUUGAUCUUUGAAAUCAAGAAAACGUCAUCGUCGUCUUCCAAAGUGUGAUUAAGGCAAAAGAAUUAGGGGGGAAAAUUAUUUUGGAAAGAAUAUUAUUUUGAGAUUUUACCCACAAUAUUUUCAAUUUUAAUAAAUGUUUUGUUCGCAUUAUUUUCCUAUUUAUUUUGUUAAUUUGGUAGGACCAUUUAUGAAAUUUGUGGGUACAAAUUUCUAGCACGCCCAGCGAGACUUCUUUGCCUCUCGUCUCUUUUUAGAAGAUUGAUCUCUACUUCAUUGAUGACACCCAAAAGAACUCAAGUUGUGCAUGUAAACAAGGGCAAUGACAAGAUCAUCAUUGCACAAUCAACACAUGACGCCGCUAUGGGCCCCAUGACUCAUAGCAAAGCAAAAUCAACAUCUUCACUCUCAACAAAACAAAUAAGUGAGUUUGCUUGUUUGCUAAAAUCGGUAAGAACGUGUGAUGAGCACCAGCCACUCAUCACAUUGGUCUCUCUAGGGGCAAAGAGCCAUAGUCCUCGUAGUAGGGGAAAACUCACUUCAACACUACAGGACUUAGGAUAAAUCUCCUAGCUCUGUUAUCGAUUCUAACUCUAGCACCGGCUCAUACUCCGAGUCGCCAGCUGGAAUGUCAAAGGAGGAAAACUACUCCAAUCGUUUCGACUCUUUUACUUCUCCCUUCUCGAUGACUAUGCUGGUAAUGGCAACUGGCACUACAUUUGUAGAGGAACAAUUAGUAGAGAUGGCUCAUGGCAUCGCCAAACUCACCAAAAUGGUUGAGGAGAAGGAUAUGCAAAUAGCCUCCCUCAUAAAUAAGGUUGAGGCACAAGUACAAAAUAUGGGUGAGUCAAGUCAAGGACUCAACCACUUUCUGAAUGUUGCAUCUCUUCUCGAUGAUGCACCACAUGCGUAUAGGACAAUCCAAGUUGAGAGACAAAUGGCGGAAUCUGCCUCAAUGGCAUCAUUAUCUAUCCAACAACUUCAGUACAUGAUAACUAACACCAUUAGAGUGCAGUACAGUGGACCCUUACAGAGUACGCUCAUGUACUCAAAACGUUACACUAAGAGGAUUGAUAACCUACGUAUGCCUGUGGGUUAUCAACCUCCAAAAUUUCAAUCAUUUGCAAAAUUUCAAUCAUUUGAUUGGAAGGGAAAUCCAAAACAAUAUAUUGCCCAUUUCAUUGAAACUUGUAACAAUGCAGGUACAGAUGGUGACUUAUUAGUUAAACAAUUCGUCCGUUUUAUUCGAAGGAAUGCUUUCGAUUGGUACAUAGACCUUACACUUAAGUGUAUCGAUAAUUGAGACCAAAUGGAAUGUGAAUUCCUCAAUAGUUUCUAUAACACCCGACGAACUGUAAGCAUGAUGGAACUUACUAACACUAAGCAAUGGAAAGACAAGCCGAUUAUAAACUAUAUCAAUUAUUGACAUUCCUUAAGCCUUGACUACAAAGAUAGAUUAUCUGAGGUAUUGACCAUGGAAAUGUGCAUACAAGGAAUGCAUUGGGGUCUCCUAUACAUUCUCUAAGGGAUACAACCUCAUACAUUUGAAGAAUUAGCUACCAAAGCACAUGACAUAGAGCUCAACAUAGACAACCAUGGUUCUAAGAAGGACCUUACCAUUGAUCGAUAAAGAGAAAGACAUGAUGGGAAAAUGAGUGACAAGACCUCAAAGAAACCUAUUCAGGAGUCAAUGACAAUAAAUAUAACUCUUGUCAAAAUCUCAGCAAGAGAUAAAAAAAAGGAAGUAAAAGAGGUCAGACUAACCCAGGAAAAUAAGAUGUGUCAAUUCAUCUUGAAGGAAUUAGAGGAGAAGAAGUAUCCUUUUCCUGACUUUGAUGUGCCUAACAUGUUGGAAGACUUGCUCCAAAAAAAGGUUAUUAAGUUACUUGAGUGUAAGCAUCCAAAAAGAAUGGGUCGUGUUAAUGAUCCAAUCUACUAUCAUUACCAUCGAAUUGUUAGUCAUCCUAUGGAGAAAUGUUUCAUUUUAAAAGAUCUCAUAAUGAAACUUGCAAAGCAAAGAAGAAUUCAUUUAGAUCUGGAUGAAGUAGUAGAGUCAAAUCAUGCUAUAGUCACAUUUGAGUCAUUUGAUCCUGUUCCAUUACAUGUUCCACUUAAGAAACUAGGGACAUGUGGCAAUACUAUUCAAUGUGAGUCACCAAAACCAAAGCAAACAUAAGUGUCAUGUUAGGAUAGCCUUCUUCGCCUUUGCUCUGAUAAUAAAUCAAUGUCAUAUGACGAAGAAGGUUGGAUAUUGGUGACACGAAGAAGACUUUGCAAGAAGCAAGGGUCGCAUUCAUACCCUAACCUUCUUAGGAGGGAAUGACAUGAGUGGAAUACUCACCAACAUUUAAAGAAGAAAGAAAAAAAGAAUCUUAAAAGAAAACAAGCGAUUGUACAAAUAGACGACUUUUUGGUCCAGAAACUCAUCACCCCUAUCACCCUAGAGAAAUACUUCCCUCUAGGGUUCUUUGAUAAAAGGGUGGCAGUAUCAACUCAUAUGGUCUCUUGCUAAGAGACUUCAAAAGAAGAGGGGUUAAGUGAAGAUGAGGAAAACAUUCUUGGUGUUGAGUCAAGAAAAACUAAGGAAGAAGAGGGGGUUGUAGCAAGCCUACAACACCUACUCUCACUAUUUAGUAGCCACGAAAUGCUACAACUACCUAAUGAGAUACAAAAUGUGUUGAUUCAAGUACUUAAGGAUCCAACACUCUAUGCCACCAAAAUAAAGGGGGCAAAAAGACUUGAGGAUGAAAGCCACAAUUGUGCCAAAUGUUGUGCAGCCAUCAUUUUUACUAACGAAGACCUUCAGUUAGGGUCAAAACCACAUAAUCGACCCCUGUUUGUUACUAGGUACAUACGGGAACAAAAUAUCACUUGCAUUUUAAUUGAUGAAGGGUUUGGAAUAAAUAUCAUGCCUAAAGCAACAAUGAAAUGACUCAGGAUUGCUACAAAAGAACUAACUCAGAGUCGCCUAAUGAUCUAAGGCUUUAAUCAAGGGGGACAACGAGCUAUUGGUAUGAUUCACCUAGAGCUUGUUACAGGUGAAUUGAGUUCGAACACAUUGUUUCAUGUAAUCAUUGCAAAACAUUUUACAACUUAUUACUCGAGCGACCAUGACUUCAUGAGAAUGGGGUAAUUCUUUCGACACUAUACUAGUGUUUCAAAUUCUAUAGAGGAGGGGUAAAGGUAGUAUAGACUGAUACUAAGCCAUUUACAGAAGUCGAGUCUUAUUUUGUUGAUGCUAAAUUUUACAUAGAAAAUGAUGUUAUGCAGGAAGUCCUUCUUGCGAUUAUUCUCUCCACUGGGAAUGCUAAACUUAAGGAAAAAGUUGAGCUAUGUAAGUUGACAUCAGCAGGGAAAUUUCAUAACAAAUGAUGACUCAAAUAAAAAAAAAAGAGAAAUUUUCAAAAAAAUUGACAUUGGACUUGACAAUUCUCACUACUUUCCUAGUUUUUAGGUACAUCCCAAUAUCUCGACGAAGUGAGGGUCAACCAUUUUUCAUAGAAGACAAAAACAAAGUACAACCCUGAGGAUUGGAAAAUGGGGACCUUUAAGUCUUGAAAGAAGAUACGACCAUUCCUCUUCCAAACUUACAACUUAUCUCUAGGGAUGAAACACAAAAAUCCAACAAAACCUCAAGAGAUCAAACAAAGCAAGAAUUCUUUCCUGGUAAAAGAAUAAAUGAGGAGUUCAACCCUAAGACUUACAAGUUAUUAGCCAAGGCAAGGUAUUACUUCACUUCGUCAUCACGAUUAGGAGAACUUAGCCUCGAGACUACAGGUGAAAAGAUGCAUGACUUUAACGAAACUCAAAAAAAGUUGAAACAACAAGGGUAUGCAGUCAAACCUUCUAGUGCAGGUUUAGGGUUUGUACCUUUUGAGCCUAUCAAAAUUUUAGUUAAGACUAAGAAGACUAAGGCAAGUACACAACAUAUCAUUGUAGAAGACAUGGAGGAGAGUAGUGGGUCUAACUCUCCUUCUCGAAUUUCAAUAUUUGAUCGGAUUGAAGCUCUAAUUACAUGAGCUUCAGUGUUCACUAGGUUGGGCGAUUUUAACCAAGUAUAAUGUAAUUUAGCACAUAUUCCACAAAGGUCAAUACAACGAAGGAUUAAUACUCUACCCAAAAGUCACGACGACAAAAUCCCAAUAAGAAGUAGUGUAGUGAACUAAAUAAGAAUGCAAAAAUAAGAAGUUUAAUCCCAUCAAGGAUGAAACACCAUUCAACUUGGGAAAUUUGUACUAAUGGCUAGUUAAAAUUAAAAUGACAUACCAUCGUGAUCACCAAGCAGUCGGACGAGGGAUGCCCUAAAGAUGUUAAAUAAAGUUUGACACACAGUAACUACCAUAUUACAGUAGAAGUUGACUCUAAUUCAGAGUUUUUAGAAGAUGAACUAUGAGAAGCUCCUCAAGUAUUUGAGGACGGGGGGCAGGCCACUGUAGAUGAGUUAAAAGAGCUCAAUUUAGGUACAAAUGAGGACCCAAGGCCAAUUUAUGUAAGUAUGCUUUUAAGUCCUUCUGAAGAGAAAAGUUAUUUUGAAUUGUUACUCAAUUAUAAAGAUGUCUUUGCAUGGUCGUACAAAGAAAUGUCAGGUCUUGAUCCAAAAGUUGUAGUACAUUAACUCACGGUGAAACAUGGUGUCCGAUUGAUUAAGCAAGCCCAAAGACGAUUUUGACCAGAACUUGUUUCGCAAAUAGAAACGAAAAUUUUCAAAUUGAUUGAAGUUGGUUUUAUUAAGGAGGUAAAGUACCCGACAUGGAUUGCGAACAUUGUUCCAGUGAAGAAAAAGAAUGGGUAGAUCCGUGUCUGUGUAAAUUUUAGAGAUUUAAACAAUGCUUGCCCAAAAGAUGACUUCCCAUUACUAAUUAUUAAGCUUAUGGUUGAUGCAACUACAGGUCAUGGAACUUUAUCCUUCAUGGAUGGAUCAUUGGGGUAUAACCAAAUACAAAUGGUGCCAGGGGAUGAAGAACUUACUGCAUUUUGUACUCUAAAGGGUAUUUACUGUUACAAAGUGAUGCCUUUAAGACUAAAUAAUGCAGAUGCAACGUAUCAACAUGCCAUGCAGAAAAUAUUUGAUGACAUGCUUCAUAAGAAUGUCGAGUGCUAUGUUGAUGAACUGGUGGUCAAGUCUAAGAAGAGAGAAGACCACCUGCAAGAUCUUCGUAUGGUGUUUGACAGGUUAAGAAGGUACCAACUUAUGAACCUACUCAAAUGUGCUUUUGGUGUUACUUCUAGUAAGUUUCUAUUUUAUUGUUCGACACCGUGGCAUUGAAGUGGAUCAAUCUAAGAUCGCAACCAUUCGAGCUAUGCCAGAGCUGAGGAAUCUUUAAGAACUUAGAAGUCUUCAAGGACGUCUUACUUUUAUUCGACGAUUUAUUUCAAAUCUUGUAGGACGAUGUCAAUCCUUCAACCAACUUAUGAAGAAAGAUGUCCCAUUUGUUUGGGACAAAGCUUGUCAUAAUCCCUUUGAGAGAAUAAAAAAGUAUUUGGCUAAUCCACCAAUCUUAGGUGCUCUUAUGGCAGGGAAGCCAUUGAUACUCUACAUUGCCGCACAAAAAUGCUCUCUUGGAGCAUUGUUUGCACAACAAAACGAGGAGAACAAAGAAAAUACAUUGUAUUACUUAAGUCAAACUCUAAUGGGAUCAGAACUAAAUUACUCCCUAAUAGAGAAAACUUGUCUUGCUUUAAUCUUCUCGACAAAAAAGCUAAUACAUUACAUGCAGGCAUACACAGUACACUUAAUAGCACACGUUGAUCCCAUUAAGUAUGUGCUAUCAAAGCCAGUUAUUUCAAGACGAUUAGCAAGAUGGGGGUUGUUACUCACUGAGUAUGAAAUAAUCUACAUUCCUUAAAAGGUAAUCAAAGGACAACGCAGACUUCUUGGCAGAUCAUCCUAUCCUUGCAACAUGAAAAAUUUUAGAUGACUUCCCCGAUGAGGAGAUCUUUUAUGUUGAUGUUUUUCCUUCGUGAAUGAUGUUCAGGUCAGCACGUUAUGAUGGAACAGGUGCAGAUGUUGUAUUUGUCUCACAACAAAGAUAGAUACUACCAUAUUCAUUUGUUCUUAGUGAGAGAUGCUCUAACAACGUUGCUAAAUACCAAGCCUUAAUUAUUGAACUACAAAUAGCGAUUGAAAUGAAAAUCACAAGCUUAGAGAUAUGUGGGGAUUCUAAGUUGGUAAUCAAUCAACUUCUAGCCUUGUAUAAGGUUAAAAGUGAUGACUUAGUUCCUUACUUCCAAUAUGCUACCCAACUGAUGGAAAAGUUUGAGCGAACCUCUUUAGUUCAUAUUCCAUGAAAGAAAACUAAAUGGCAGAUGCUCUAGCUAAUCUAGUUGCAAGUUUGACACUGCUUAAGGACGAGACUAUACACAUCACUCUUUGCCAUAAGUGGGUACUGCCGCCAUUGCCACUAUUACAACAAGAAGAAGUAAACGCUACAUCGGUAUUUACUAUUGACAACGAAGAUUGGCGACAACCAUUAAUUGACUACUUAGAGCAUGUGAAGUUACUUGAUGAACUAAGGCAUUGAACAUAAAUACGACAUUGAGCUCCAUACUUCAUUUACUACAAAGAAACACUUUAUCGAUGCUCAUUCCAUGGAGUACUUCUUCGAUGCCUAGAAGGAGAAGAGACAAAUCAAGCAAUUGAAGAAGCUCAUUCUGAGAUCUAUAGGGCUCACCAAUCAGGGCCAAAACUUCAUUUUCGAAUCAAAAGGAUGGGAUACUAUUGGCCAACUAUGGUUAAGGAUUGUAUGGAAUAUGAAAAGAAGUGUCAAUCAUGCCAAUUCCACUCAAAUUUUAUACACAACCCCUUGAGCCACUCCAUCCUACAAUUGCGUCAUUGUAGACCCUCAAUUUUGUCCCUUUAGCACAUGUCUUUAAGUUCGUUUUCAGUGCUUCAAAAUAGUUCCUUGGUGGCCCAUGGCUACUCAUACCACUUACCUUUUUCUGAGUCACCUCGGAGAUUUUGGUGGAGGAAUUAUUUGAUCCUUUAUUGUGACCCUUGGCAGCCCUAACUUAGACUUAGACUUUUCUUGUUUUUUUUUUUUUUUUUUUAGGAUAGCUUUUAGAUACAUUUGGCCCAUUUGGACAUUUUUAGCGUGACUUGUAUGACUUGCAUGGUUACAUGGCUUUUGGGCUCGACUUUUUGUUUAUUGGUUUAUUUUUAUUUUAUUUCAUUUUAUUUAUUUUUACCGUUUCCUAAUUUAUUUACUUGCUUAUUUAUUCAUUCAAUGAUUUAACUUCAAGAUUUUCAUGUUUUUGCAAGGAAACUUACCAUUGGAGUUUAAGGAAGGUGGGACUCUCCUUGGAAGGUUUUGGAGGGGAAUUUGAAAUUGAGAAGAUUGCUUUUGAUUGGAAGAUUUAAAAAAAGGAAGAAAAGAAGAAAGGAAAUAGGAGAAUUUUCCUUUUUGGAAAGAAAUUUAGGUCUUGAGGGGUGAUAUAUAUAGGUGAGAAAAGGAAAAGAGGGGGAAGGAUUUUUUUUGGGGGUAGAGCACGCGUUGGAGGAUUGGGAGGAGAUUUGAGGAGGUUCUUUUUGGAGCAGCAGGCAUUGGAGGAAAAUUUGUCGGGGAAAAGAACAGAGGAAACGAAAAGAGCAAUUGCAACCAAGGCUGUCCAGGUAUGCACCUCGUUGCUUUUGGAAUUCUGACCUAUGUUUGAUUUUUUUCCACGUGAAUAUUUAAUGGUAUUGUUGAUUUUGUGUGGACGAAAGGGGCCACAAUUUGUUUUGUUGAGAUUGGUUGCUUGCUUGUUUGCCUUGUUUUGGUUUUGAUUGUCAUUGAUGUCUUCGGAAGCAUAUAACUCCAUGCCUGAAUGUGAUCAGAUUCUGUUCUUCAUUUAAAUCAUAUUCUGCAUUUGUCUCUCUGUUUUUAGCCCAUGGAUUAAUAUCUGAAGUGGGGGCUAUCCAUGUUUACUGAUCAACACCUUCUGCCAUUUCCUUCUCCAAGUUUUACUUCAAUUUUUUUUAUCUUUUAUCUGUAUUCUUUUCCUCGCAUGGUGUUCGAACCCUUGCUCUUGUAUUUGGGUAUACGUCGAGGAAUGAUGUAAGUGUCAAUAUGAGGGAUGAACUGUGCAACAAUCCCACUCAAAAAUAAUUGAUUCCGAGGUAUUGUAAUGGAUUGUGGAGACUGGAGGUAACGUCUUAUUGGCAUCAGAUUUGACCUUUCUAAUCCUAUGGGAUUCAAUGGCUCGUACAGAAUCGCAACUCCGGUGUUAUUUGCAAGCAUAGCUAAAUGGGUUAAAGCCAAGCUAAUAUUUUCUCUUGCUUCCGAAUGAUCGCGUUAUCAUUGGCCAACAUCACUUCUACCCUUUCCAAUUUUCCAAGCGCUUCUGACCGUAAGAAUAAUGGUCUCAGAGAAAGCAAUUUGACUUGUAAAACAGAGGGUUUCAGAGAGUGUCAGGAAGGUGAUUGAUUUGGGUAGCACUGAAAAAGGAUGGUUUGAACUAGGGUUUUGAAUCACGCCUUGAGUUAUUAGAGCAGUACGAAGAAUUGCGGGAUACCAGUGAUGGAUUGAUGGGUUCGGUGCCGAUUCUGGGUCGUAUUACAGAUUUGGGGCAGAGACGAUUGGUGAUGGCAAUGGGAUUAAUGCAAAUCAGGGAGAUGCUAUUUUUGAGGAAACGUAGUUCACGGGUUUUAGGAAUGUAGUUUCAGAAUUUUCAGAGAUUCUUGAUGUAUUGUGUUAGAAUAUUCUGAAACAGUUUCAGUAUACCGAAGGAUCCAAUACGGGCUUAGCAAUUACUAUAAGGAACAGAAAGAAGGAAAUUGAUGCGACUUCUGCGAACAAGUAAGUUCCAGAUACUUCGGUUGGAAGAACCUUCUCAAUAAGGUGAUCAAUCAGAGGAGGUAUCUUGCACAGUAGACCUUUCUGAUUCUUUAUGUUAUCAACUUGAUCUUGUCUCUUUUGUCGCAUAUGUCAAUUCUGCUCAUUUAUGGAAUUCAAAAUCCUCAUUGUUGUUGCCUGAAAAAGAAAUUACGGCAAUUGGAGAAGACAAUCAGUCUGACCCUUUUUGUUGAAAAUUUUGUUUUGGAAAGAUUUUCUAUUUAAACCUCCCUGCGGGUACUAUUCGAUGAAGUCUUUGGUAAUAAAUUUCAGGAUGCUAUUGAAUUGAUAAGUAUGUAGCCAGUUGCUUCUAAUUUAGCAGCCUGGAAGAGAAUGCGAGUUGUUGAAUUCAUGCACAUGCGAUAUGCUCUGGAAUCUGUGGUGCUUGCAGUUGGAGCUAUGGAAAGAAGUACAUCUUAUCAUCUACUAUUGGUGAGAGAUAUAUUGUUCUUGCAAUGAAGCACCCUGCUGUCUUCUUAGAUAGCAGGUACAUUGACAAUGGGGAUAAGGAUAAGAAGACUUAUACGUCUUCUUAGAAUAUGGAGGAUUCACUCAAUACAAAAGUCACUCUUUUCGUCUCUGGAAUUGAGAAACCACAGUUUAGAGGAUGGAAUUAAAGUUUUUAUGCCCCAAGUUGCAGUAGCAGUUCUGGUAAUACUCAAACUCAGAGCAUCACGGGGUAUGACAGGAUGGCUGGAAUGGUGAUUGGAAGGCUCCUGGCGUCCAGAGAUUCCCUAAGUAGCAGUGGAAGUUUACUACUGGUGUAGCCAUGAUUGAAGUUACAGCUCCAUGUGUAUAUGCUAUCAAAAGAAGAAGGAUACGAGACUCUGAUUUUCCAUACCACUGGAAUGGGUGGAAGGGCUAUGGAGGAUCUGAUCAGAAGGGGAUUUAUACGAUGUGUUCUGGACAUAACAACAACAGAGGUUGCUGAUUAUGUAGUUGGAGGUGUUAUGGCUUGUGACAAUUCCCACCUUGACGUCAUGAAGAUAAGAAAUUUGUCGGCUUUGUAGCAAACGAACUAAACGAAACAGCAUCAAAGGUAAUGUUGACCCGAAUGAUUAGGCUCAUAUUCAGAAAGACAGAAUUUGAUCCAGACUCGAUUUCCUCUGGUUCUGCUACAAAUAAAGAAGUUGAAUUUCUGGACUGCACAAGGACCUUUUAGUUCUGAUUUUUCUUUAGGUGCCAAUCUUACCACAAUGGAAGAUGUCCAGAAUAGUUUUAAUGCAACGCAACUUAGGCUUUGUGGAAGGUUAAGCAAUGUUGAUGGCUAUAUAAUGCCGAUCAUCUUCCCAAGUGUUAUUCUCUGUGGCUGAGUUGUUUUCUGAAGCUGAAACAUAAAGACCCUCUCAAUAAGGCCGCCUCUAUGAAUCUUGCUCAGCAUGCACUGAUCAGCAAUUUCUGGUGAGAUCUCAGCCAGUUCCAGCUGAUAAGCAGGUGAACCAGGCAGGAAGGACCAAUUGGCAAACACUCUUGGGCUUUCCUGGUGGGCAUGAAACCCAGAAUUGCAAUGGGGUAGUUCAGAAUCUGAAUCUAGUUCGACUUGGAGGUCUGAGUCAGACAUUAUAUAAUUAGGAUGGCAAAGAAGACUCCUUACCUACAGCGGCCCAAAUUUAUUAAGUCGUCCUUUGACACUAAAGAGAUCACCGGUUUGCCCUUGAUAAAUUAAUGUCAUCAUGAGCAGAUUUUGUUCCUAUUCUUUAGCUGAGAAUCAAAUGCAUCACACCAUCGAACAGUUGAAAUCUUUGAGUAGGAGCAGAGAAUGAUGCAGAACAGAGAAAACAAUGACCCAGGUCCAACAGGUCUCAUGAGGUUUGAUGGUGAGAUCCGUUCAGCAAUGUUGGGAAGCAACUGGAAAUAUGGGCCUCAUGCUGCUGCAACUCACUUAGACUACAUGGUUGAGUUUACAGUCACUGUGCCAAUUUUGAGUCUUGCUGGAACAAUGGAUAACUUACCAGCUGGUGAACCAUGGCUGCAGAAACUAAAAGCGGAUUGAGCAGGAUGCAACUACUCUCAUUCCAGGAAACAAAGAACUGAAACCACACGAGUAGGACCCUUUGAACAAAAAUGCUGGUAUCAAUACACAUCCUACGUGCCCAUCUAUUAUUCAAUCCAAUUCUGAAGUCCCAGUCAUGUCACCUAGAAAAAGCAAAGGAGAAAUUCAAAGGGAACCCUUGGGCUUGAAAGGAAAGGUUCUUAGUCUUGGAAAGGUUCAGAAAAGCCGGAAGGUGUAGAAAGAAUUCAAGCAGCCACAGAAGGCUUCCUCCAAGCUGAUAGUACCACCUAGCACAGGUUUCGGUACCUUAACCUAUGGAUAUAGUUUGCUCUUGAGAGCGUUCCAUACAUUCGAAACGGCAUCAAUAAGUCACUACUUUUGGAUCAGCACUUGGAACUGGAUCUUAGUACUGUCAUGCUUGGCUGUUGCUUUUGGUUUUAGAAACAUGAACUGCUUAGGUAACGCAUCUGGCUUGGCAGUUAUAAUUAUAAUGUCAGUCACCACCUGCCUAAUGUCUCUGGUUGCUGUACUGUGCCGACACCAGAAUGUCUCCUCUAUAAUUGGCUCCAUGUUCUUCAUUGGCGUAAUUGAAGCUUUCUAUUUCUCAGCAUGGAUCUCUAAGCCACUCCUGAGCAUGCGUGUAAGAAUGGAUAGCAGGGCAGAUUUUCAGGUUCCUGGUCAGAGUGGAAUAAUGGGACAGCCAAAUGAAGACGAAUUCCCCAUGAACUUCCAAAAAUAGACUUAAUGAUAAGAAGAGAGGUGAAAAAGAAUUCAGUGGCUAUUCGAGAUGACUUUUAUGGAUGAAUUCGGUAGAGAAUUGAAAAGAAUUCAAGUGGUUGCAUAUGUGGGUGAGAUUCAAUAGCGUUAACGGAUACUCUUGAUGGCUGAAAUUUAAAAGAAAUGAUAGACUACAUAAGUGAGGUGAUUGAAUUUUAUAAAUAUGAUUAUGGGUUUUGAAUUACAUCGAGAUCAGCACUUGUUGAGAUUAUCAUAUUUAUGCUGGUAACAUUGCAAUCAUAUACGUUUUCAUCCCAAGAGUUUGAUCAUGCGUCAAAAUAUCUAGAAGCAGAGCAAAUUGAAACCUUUUCAAAAUCAGCAGUGGACAGAUUCUGUCCUAAAACACUUGAAGUUGGAGCAUACUGAGGCAGUUUAGUCUUCUGAAAUCCAUACCUAGUUUCCUGAUGAUUCAAGUUCUUUAUUUGACUUUUCCUUUAUAGAGAAAGCUCCUAGUGGCAUUGACCAGCCAGGAAUUCACCAUAUGCUUCAUCAACAAUAAUGUGCAAUUCAGGAAAAACGAGGUUGGAUGGUCAGAAGAAGACUUUGAAACUAGUUCAGGAUCUCAAUCUAGUGAAUCUGAUUUCUCCAGUUUCAGUCCAGAUGAGCUUCUGCAGUUAAUUGGUGAUGCAUCAGUUAUGGGAAAGGUCCUUCAUCAACUAGCACUUCACCUUUAUAAGAAUCCAUCAUGAUUCUCAGCACUUGCUGUUGUCUAUUUUCUGACAUGUAUUAAGCAAAGAUUGGUCUGAAGAGAGAUAAUACAUCCUCUAUCUAGUACACAGAUUCAGACGCUGAAUUCCGUGAUUAUGUUAGUGAGGUCACGAGGGAAGUGUGUAGGCAUCACUAUGCAAAGUGCCUUGAAGUUGUAUCAAUUCGUUUGCUGGAUAAUCGCCCACAAAUUAGCAAAAAUCAUCUUUCAAAAUAUAUGAAGUAUCCUACGUUUAUAGGAGAGCAAUUGAUCAUUCAACACCAAAUUGUUAUCUUCAGGGAAAUGUUGAUAUGAUUGGAGGUGCAAUAGCAUUGACUUGAGAUAGUCAACAGUAUGUGAUCACAGAGUUAGGAUAUUACAACAAGAAGAGUCCAAUGGGCUUAAAUCUUUUUGACAGAAAUUCUCAUCUAUCUUGGACUUUAAGCUAGCGUCUGAUGAAAAACAUCAGAAUCUUCACCCUAUUCUAUGAUAGAUGCAUGCAUUGCAGUAUGCUCGAGAUCAUUGUAGGCCUUUAUCCGAGAAGAAACAGAAUAGAGUGAACCAGGUGUUGAAUAAAGCCCGUGAUGAUGCUGAAAGUAGUGCCUAGAAGAACUCGUUAGAAAGUAACAAAGGCAAUGUCCUCUUUCCUCUCCUCUGAUGUGCCUUCUCCUGUUUGGAGUAUACCAAUAAUUCGGAAACUGCACUCUUUAUCUGUGACUUUACUUGAUGGAAACAAAGGGCAAGAUGGGAAGCCUCACAAGGAAGAGAAGCCUCAAAGUCUAUAUGAGAAUUUAGAAGAUUCUUUUGCCACAAAGGCAGCAGAAGAAAUAUGCUUGCAACAGAAAGAACUUAGGGUAUUUGAAAUUUCUGGAUUGGUGCUGCUCAAUGAGAAUAUACAGAAAAUCAAUCCAAAUGAACCACUAAAAGAAGAAUGCACUACUCUAGGUGAAGUAUCAUGGUUAGAGAAUCACAGAAACGCGUCUGCAAUAAAACGCUCAGAUUCUCCAAUAGAAAGUGACAGAACCAUGAAGCUGCCAGUAGAGGUGCCUGAGGGAGCUGAGGAACCUGCAGAAGAGUAUGAAAACAACAAAGAACUGAUCAUAGAGAAAGAGAGAGACAUCAAGGAAUUUCCAGCCGUGUCCAUUGAAGUUGAAUAGGUUAAAUAGGAACGGCAUUCUGAGACAAUACUCGCUGAAAAUCCUAGAAUGACAGAUUCUGAAGUGCAGACUAAAAAUGUGAACCUAUAGGAUUGUGGAAGACUUCAGCAAAGACUCUAAAAGAUUUCCCAUCACAAAAGCAAUGGAAGCAGAGAUGCUACAGAAACAGAGUGGUAAAAGGAAAGUGGAUGUCUCUGGUUCGGUAUCUGAAAUAUCAAAAGAAAUUAAUAAGGAGGUCAUAGAAGAUGCCAGCACUUGCUCUAACAAUAUUGAUGCUGCAUCCGAAGAGGGGAAAACAGAAGAGUCAAGCUUGUAGGAAACUCAACUGAAUGACAAAUACAAAAAGAUCAUUAAGACUAGCUCAGAAGAUAAGACACUAUAAGCAAAUACCACAAAUGAAACUAGUCCACAGGCUGAAGAGGUUGACAGCAUGAAGCUUGAAGAAACUUUUGAAUUGAUGUCUCAACUUCCAGUUAAGGCAUGUGAGAACACAAACAAGGAGAGUGAAACAGUGGAAAGGUCGAUUGAUAAUGUGCUGAAGAAACCGAUUAAAUCUUCUGGUAUAGUAUCAGAAUCCCAAGAACAAUGUGCUGAAGAAACUGAUUAGACCCUUAAGCUCUUCUCUAGCAGGGUCUUUGAUAUCAAAUGCCUGUCAGAACCCCCAUUCAGUAAACUGCUUCAAUUUGAGCUCAGGAAUCCAAGGAAGACACGGAUAAGGGAAAGUUGAUUACGCCAGAAUCUGUAUUUCUCAAGAGCAACUCAAGUUUACUGGAACUCUUCACCCUUCAUUGGAAUUCAAUAAAACUUUGAACAACAGAGAGCCACAGAAAAGUACUAAAGGAGGGCAGAAUGUAUUUUGGGAUUCAACAUCAGCAGGAUAGUCUCAAAUCUUAUUCCCAGGCUCCACUCCAUCAUGGCAACCUUGCUAUACACACCCUCUCCUCUAUUUACUUUUGUGAUUGGGAACUUACUAUUUUAAGUUGAAUUUUUGAACCAUUGUUCAACUAAACAUUCCCAGCUUUGAAAAAUCCAUCUUAGGAGCAUCUAGGUAUAAAAUCCCAAUUUUAACAUGCUAUUUGCUGCCAUUUUCCUCCGGGCAUGCACUUUCACUAUUUUAUCCGAUUUUUAACUAUUUUCAUGAUUUUCUCGAUUUUCUCAAGCAUGAACAAACUUCAUGAUUCCAAACAAUGGAAUUAAUAGAAUAAAUUCAUGCAAAAGUAAUCAGGGCAUUGGGGGGAGGCCCGACAUUCAUAAUAUUCUCUUCAAUAGUGUCUUGUUUGAUAUUUGAUUGAUUGUGCUUCCUCUUUGUGGUAUAUAUGAGAUUAUUUUGAAUUAGUUGUUGAGUUAAUUUUGUUUCCCAUAGAGGAUUAUUAACUCGCUAAUCAGGUACGCUCUUUCUACCACCACACUUUCCAAAAUUUCAUGAAUAUGAGACAUAACCAUAUUUGAUGCCAUAAUUGAUUGCUUUGAUGCUUGUUGGAUCGUCUUUGAUGAAAAUACAUAUUAUGUGUCAUAUUUCCAAACUAAUCUCUCAUGUUUUGUGAUAGUGUUUGAGAAGCCGUUCAGGUACGCACUUCGACUCUCUCUUAUGGUUGGUUUUCUUAUUAGGCAUGCAAUAUUUGAAAUCACCUAGCCUACUCAGGUAUCCAUAAUUAACUGAUUAAUGGCCACGCUUCCCUUAACUUAGUCAGUAGAGACCUCUUUAGGGCUUAGAGGGGUGCUACCUCCUAGAGGUACCUUCCCAAUAAGUAACCUGAUCCCCGAACCAAGACUUGGGUUUUCAAAGACACGCUUUUCCAAAAAUUAUGGAGUCAUUUUUUUAGGGUUUUAUUUCUUGUUUUAUUUUCCCUUCAAAAAUAAAAAUAAAAUAAGUGGCGACUCCAACUUUUUCAAAAAUCAAUUUUUCACAAUAAAAAGCGAGUCUCGUCGAUCGAGUGGGGACGCACGUGAAAAAUGCGGGUCCACAGUCAUGGCCAUUUGAUGCAUGGGGACUUGACGUGGUCAGACCCAUUACUCUUAAAUCCUUUGUUGGACAUGCUUACAUAUUGCAGCAACAUAUUAUUUUUCUAAAUGGGCAAAAGUUGUUCCACUUAAAGAAGUGAAUAAAGAAAAUGUAGUGAACUUCAUUCGAAGUAAUAUUAUCUAUCGGUAUAGGGUACCAUGAUAUAUAAUCACUGACAAUGGGAAACCCUUCUAUAGCAAAUUGAUGAUCAAUCUUUGUGAGAGGUUUAGUUUCAAACAACACAAUUCAUCAAUGUACAAUGCACCGACCAAUGGUCUCACAGAAGCAUUCAACAAGACUCUUUGCAACUUAUUGAAGAAAAUUGUUGAUAAUUCAAAGAGGGAUUGACAUGAAUGAGUAGGAGAAGCACUUUAGGCAUAUCAAACAACAUAUCGAACGCCUACACAAGCAACCCUUUAUUCCCUUGUUUAUGGUGUAGAAGUUGUAUUGCCCCUUGAGCGUCAGAUCCUUUCAUUAAGGAUUUCUAUACAUGAAGGACUAACUAAUGAAGAUAAUGCCAAGUUACAUCUUCAAGAGUUAGAAGCACUAGACGAAAAGUGACUCGAAGCCCAACAACACUUAGAGUAUUAUCAAGCACACCUUUCAAAAGCUUUAAAAAAAAAAGGUUUGUCUUCGGUCUUUUCAAGUCGGUGAUCUAGUUCUUGCCAUUCGUAGACCCAUUAUCACCACACAUAAGACUAGGAGUAAAUUUACAUCAAAAUGGGAUGGACCUUAUGUGGUGCAAGAAGUCUACACCAAUGGUGCUUAUAAGAUCGUCACUGAAGACGGAUUAAGAAUUGGCCCUAUCAAUGGAAAAUUCUUAAAGCGUUAUUAUGCUUGAGUCACACUACACCCUUAGCUUGCAUGAGCAUAAAUUAUGUCUGGAGCACCAAAAAAAAAAUAAAAAAAUCCGCUAAGUCGAAAACCUAAAAGGACGCCUUAGGUAAAAAUUAGGACAUAUGCUCACAAGAUUAAAAUUUUCUUUUAGCCUUGGCAAAAGUUAGAGCAUGAAAAAAAAAGGUGCUGCAUUUGACUUGAUCCUCUCUCUUUGAAAGGUAUGUAAGCAACUUGGGGAAACCACCUAAGUUCACUCACUACCAAAAAAAAAAAAAAAGGUCUCAUUUUUAUUAAUAAAUAAAUCUGACUAACAAAUGCUAGACUUUAUUACAUCUUAAUAAAAAAAAAUGAAUGAAAGCAAAAAAAAAAAGGGAGCCAAAACUAAGUAAAAAGGUACAAUGAUCACAUCCACACCAAGCAUGCAAGCUCGUCACGUUGAGUCCUUAAGGCUUCUUGAAGUGUCUCUAAAGUUUUGACAUCAACAUCAGUAAGCACAAGGGUUUGGGCGAUAAUGACAUGUUAUUUCCUCAAACGAGAAACAUCAUUAUGUUUAUUGGCUAUAAUCUCAUCAAUCUCCAAGAUUAAGUUAUGAAUGUGCUCUUUUUGUUUACCUAGUUGCUUAAAUUCCUUCUUAAGUGCUUCCUAUUUAGCAUCGAGAGUAGCUAAGUCUACCUUUAAUGAUUGACGAUGGUUUUCCUAUAUACACUUAGAGUUUAAAGCAUCCACAAUCUGAGAUGCAAUAAUAGCUAAACGUUCGCUUUGUACUUCUAGAGAUAUAUUUAUAGAAUGGGUGCGUCACAUUGCAUUGAGGUGAUCUACACUUUCCAUGUACUUCUCAAUCUGAGACUUUAAUGGUGAAGGGUUCACUCCAAUCUUUGUGAUAACAUUGAAAAGCUCAUCAAUUUUUCCUCUUAAUAAUGGGAGACAUUUAUUUGGAAAUUUUAAUAAUCAUCACCUUAGUGCCUUCUCCUAUCAUAAGUGCUUCUUGGCGUUAGGCAUUAAGGAUGAUUUGUUUGACGUCGAAUGUGUGAAUGGAAGUAGAAGGAGCAACCACGGUAGGACAUGUAGAUUGUUGUUCAGUAAUUAAACCUAUAAAUGCUAAAAUUGUUAAUUCAUCAUAUGUUGUAUCUCUAAUUGUGGUCUUUUGACCUCGAGAUUCAAUCAGAACAUCACUUAAGAUGUUAGUAAUACCUUUAUCACCCAAAUAAGAAUGAGACAAAGGUAAUGGGAUGAUAGAGUGAUUAUCUUGUUGUAUGGUCAAGGUAAAGGGUGCUGACUCCCUAAUAGCAAUAGUACUUUCGAACUGAUCCUUAGGAGAGGACUCAUCCCCUUCAUUGACAAAUUGGUUGUCACCCGCCACCUAAGGCAAAUAAUUAUUUUUGUUAGUAUCAAUGCAAAAAAAAAAAAAAAAAAACCUUUUCACCAUCAAGUUCCAUCGCUUGAGUAGAAGUUAGGACGUCAGCAAAGAAGACAUUUACAUCAAGAUGAUAAGAGUUAGUCUCAUCAUAGUACAUAGGGUUGGGUCUAAUUUUUUUCCAUUUGAAGUAACAUUCACUUGUAUCUUCAAAGUUUUUGUUUGAUACAUAAAGACCCUGUGCAUUGUUAUGUUGCUUAAAAGUCUUGUGACAGUGAGUAUUACCACCGUUGAAAAUAGUUUCCUCAUGCUCUGAGUGUGUGGAGGUAUUAGUUUGAUGUCCACCCAUUGAGCGCUUAGAAGAAGCUCUUGAAUCAUCAGGUAAAUCAUCAAAAUCCUUCUCAACAUUGUCUCUAAUAUUCCCCUUAGUAGAAACACUUAAGUCAACCUUGCGCGUUCUACUCUCUAAAGAUCUAGAGGGUAUUUGCCAAGAAGAAUUAGGAGGGGGCUCCAUACAAGUAGUAGUAAGAAUUUCUUUAUCAGGAUUACGUACUCUGAUCCACCAAUCCGCAUAAGCCAAUCUGGUAUAGUAACUUUGGAGUAGGUACCAAGCCUAGUACAUGACUGCCAAUGUUGAUACACCGCCUUUAAAGUUCUAGUGUGAAAAAUCUCUAGCGAACUCUCCGGAAGGUCUUGAAGAUAUACAAACUGCCUAGAAAACCGAUGAGGAUAAUACAGUUGGAUUACCCAAUGAUUACCUUGUCGCAAAGAUAAAUAGUUAGAGUGAAGACUUAUGAGAUAAGAAGCUUUGGUAACACUAAUAGAUUCAUUAUCAGUCCAGUGCACAUGCCUCUUGUGGCGCAAUGCCAAGUGGUCUAGCUUUACGCCUUUGCAAGACAUUAUCAAAGCCUAAGCUUGCAAAUCAUCAAAACACUUAACAAAAAACUCGCCAGUGUAAUAAGUCAUCCGUGGGGGAUGGCUCCAAGAAGGAGAAAUGAAAUGGGUAUCGAAAUAUUCAUUUAACCAUCCGUAUAAGUAAUGAAUAGGGAAAAUAGAUGCAUUAGUCCCAGGCUUUGAAGAAUAAGUGAUUUUAUUUAAGCUGUUGUAAAUACUUCCUAACACCAAAACAACAAGGCUAAAUGUCUCACCUUGAGCCAUUUUACUAGCUACCUUGAAGACUUUAGGAUGAAUCAAAUUGACACCUCCCAAGGAAGAACGAACUUGUAUAACCAACAUGCUAAGAAAGCGCCUAAGUAUCCUUCACAUCUGCCUCAGCUAUGCCAAGGUUGUAAAAAAUUUCCAUCUCUGACUGAAUACGAGAUUUAAUAGGAUCAAUUUCCCCAGAGGGGUUAUGAGUCUCCUUAGGCCUUUACGCCUUAUUCCUUGUACUUUUAUUUGGAAGUUUUGCAUACUUCAUGGAGCCUUUAUACCAAAAUGACACCCAAGAGGCUAACUUGACUGAAGACUUCCCUUUCGUGUUAGAGCAAAUUCGAUGAUAUGCAAGGAAUAAGUUUUGACAACUUGGUGGGAGUGAGGGCUUUGUCACAUCAUUAGAUAACUCUUCCAUGCUCGGUACCAUCUCAUCAUAAAAAGAUCCAAUGAUGGGUAGUCCAACAAUAUGAUACAAGUCCCAAAGAGAGAUGGAAACCUCUCUAAUGGAAGUAUGCAAGGUGUUAGUGGUAGGACACCAACGUUCACAAAAGGCCCUAAUCACAGAGGCAUGACAAUCAUAGCUGAAUAAGGACGCAAAAAUAGCUUCAUAAAGCUUACAUCCUUUAAGAAAUGGUCCAUGCCGGUCCAAUACCUCCUCUACCCAUUCCCAAUAUCCUUCGAUAAAGAAAUAUUCCCUUAGUACUUUGAAUGAACUUCCCCAUUUAGCUUCUCCGUCAUGAACACAAGAACCAAACUAUCCAAAUUCAUCAUGAACUUUAGUAGUAGUUGGGUGAGAGGAAUUCAACAACAGAACAUCAGAAACAAGUUUCACCUUAUUGAGUUUUGAAUUGCCGAUAUUUGUAAGCUUGCAAGAUGCAACUCGGGACAAGGAAGAAAUGUGUAAUGGGUCCUUUGUCACUGGUACUGACAAAGAUUGAAGGUCAGUAAGUGACUUAUGCACUGACAAGGUAGUCCCCUCCUCAAAAUCUUCACUAUCAUCCUCAAGAAUAGUUACAAUCUUCUAUUUGAAACAUUUGAAGAACGCCAUCCUACAUAAAAAGGAAAAAGAAGGUAGAGAGAGAGAUAAAUAAAACAUGGGUAUAAGUUUUUAGAUACCACUAUGCAUUUAAGUCAGAUCAAUUCACAUGAGUGAAGACCUUAGCACUUAAGUCAUAUAAAGUGUUGAAAGUACAAUACCGCAUAGCAUCAGGGCCAUAACUUGUUUGCAUAGAUACCGAGUAUUAUUCUAGUUUUAAUUAAAUGUUAAAACUUGAACACAACUAUGCAUUCAAGUCAAGACAAUUUGCAUAGGUGAAGACUUUAGCACAUAAGUGUUGAAAAUACAACACCGCAUAACAUUAGGGCCAUAACUUGUCUACAUAGAUAACAAGUAUUAUUAUGGUUUUAAUUAAAUAUUAAAACUUGAACACCACUAUGCAUUCAAGUCAAUCCAAUUUGCAUGGGUGAAGACUUUAGCACAUAAGUGCUAAAAAUACGACACCGCUUCGCGUCAAGGCUACGAAUUGAUUACAUGAGGGUCAAACUUUAAAUAUUCAUAUGUUUUUUUAUUUUUUAUUUUUAUUUAUUUUUUAUUUUUUAUUUUAUGGAUAUUUAAGUUUAUUAAAAAUUUCCCUCAAGUACUAAGGUAAUUUAAAAAUAAAUAAAUAAAUAAAAUUAAAUUACCUGAAAUCAAAUUCGUCUCUACGAAUAAUGGAGGCUAACAUGUGUUCGAAAAAGGUGAAUCUUUUUCUUCCUUGACAAAAAAAAAAUGAAUAAAAAGAUCACGUGUCAACAUAUAUAUAUAUAUAUCCAUCCAUUUUUUCAGGAGAUCACGUGAAUGGAUUUUAUAUAUAUAUACAUAUAUUAAAUCCUCAUCCUUACAUCAAUAUAUAGAUAUAUAGCCUAGUGAUGACGUCUCCCAAGGCAACCAACAUUGAGGCUCUGUCCCCAUUGACUUCGACAUACACCCACCAAGCUCCAAAAUAUAUAUAUGCAUUUAAAAAAAAAAUACUUACAGGUUUGAAGAGGUGAAGACUUCUUACGGUAAUUCAAGUCAAGUUUCUUAAAAUUGGGUUGAAAAUCACCCAAAAAUUCAAAAAAAAUAAAAGAAUAUGAAAGGAUUCAAGUCGGGUUUCUCAAGUUGGGUCAAAGAACACUCAAAGAUCAAAAAAGCUCUUUGAAAAAGUUCAAGUCAAAUUUCUUAGCUAUUGUCCCUUUUAUAUAUAAAAAAAACGUAUAUGGGGAUGACAAAUUGGAAGAUGAUUGAAAGUGUAAAGUAAGAAGGAAAACAAAUUGGAAGAGGAUUCAAAGUGUAAAGCAAAAAAGGAAAACAAAGUGGAGUUUGGAAAAAAGUGGGAAAGAAAUAUUUUUUUUGGAAAAAAAAAAAACUUCAAGACUCACCCCAUCCACAUGACAAUGCAUAUAUGUGAUGCGUCUUGAAGUGGGGGUAUUUGUAGACAUAAAAAAAAUUAGUGGAUUAAAUUACCACUAAUUUUGUUUUCAAAAUGAAUAAAAAAAAUCCUCUUAUGGAUAAGUUUCUCUAAUCUCCAACUAUAGAAAGGAUAAUAAUAACAAUAAAAAAACUAUUAUUAUUAUUAUUAUUAUUAUUAUUAUUAUUAUUAUUAUCUUGUUGGUAAAACCUUCCAGGAUUUUUUUUUUCUAAAAUCAAGGAACUAAAUCCUUUAAAUUAAGCAACUAAACUCUGAGAAUUUGAAAUUCAAAUUUUAUAUCUUCACCUAUAAAUAGAGGUGUCUUUUUUCAAGAAAGGAGGGGAAGAAAUCGAGAAAAAAAAAUCCAGAAAGGAAAAUCUUAAGGAGGAAAUCCAAAGGAAACUUUGUAUGGGAAAAGGGGCUUCACAACAAAAGAAAAAGCUUCAUCAAAUUUCUCUGCAAGUUCGGUACAUGGUAGAACUGCUAAACACGCUCACCGCUAUUUAACGAGUUCAUUAAGGAAUAAGCCACUUGUGGCCCUCAAUUGAUCUUCGAAAUUAAGAAAAUGUCAUCGUUGUUUUCCAAAGUGUGAUCAAGAUGAAAGAAUCAGAGGGAUAAUAUUUUUUUGGAAAUAAUAUUAUUUUUGAGAUUGUACCCACAAUAUUUUUAAUUUUAAUAAAUAUUUUGUUUGCAUUAUUUUCCUAUUUGUUUUGCUAAUUUUGUAGGACCAUUUACGAAAUUUAUGUGUACAUACUCUUUUAUGAACAAGGUAGUGUAGAAAAAGUGUAACACUUUUUUUUUUAACUCAGGUAACUCAAGUAAUAUAUCAUUUCUACCAUAGUGAAUCCAUUCUUCUUCUUUAGCGUAUAAAAAGUGACUCCGUUCUUCUUUAGCACAUUAACUUGAAUACGCAACUCAAGUAAUAUAUCAUUUCUACCAUAGUACUUUUAGCAUUUUAGUGGUAUUUUUUUUCUCAUAAAAAUGUGUACCCUUUGAAUAAGCAACCUUUGAGGUGCACAACUUAAUGUUUUAAGAGGGUGCACUAUUUUUUCCUAGCGCAUUUGAAAUGUGUACAACUUCACUAUGCAAAAAAACAUUAUUUUUUAAUAAAAUUAAGAUCAAAUUAAUAUAAAUGAUUAAAUACAAUUUUUAUGAAAAAAAUAUAUUUUAUUUUUUAUUUAUAUAAAUAAAAAUAAAAAAUUUAAUAAAACAAAAUAUUAGAGCCACAACCAAUUUUCUAUCUUAUAUAAUUAAAAAUAUUAAACAUUUUAACCAAGAAGAAAAUUAAAAUUGUGAUCAAGUUACAUCCAUAAGCAAAAAGUUAAAAUAGUGAUUAUCGACUCUAACUUUCACAUAAAAAUUUAACAAUUUUUUAAAAAUAUAAACAAUAAAAUAAUAUGACAAUGUAAUAGGAUUAUAAAAUAAAUAGAUAUUUUAUUUAGGAGGAAUAUAGAAAAUCUUAUGUCCUAAGCUUCUAAAUUUGUUCAUAAUGAAUUUAUUUUUAUAUUAAAUUUGUUUUCAUUAAUUAUUUCUUAUAUAUUUUUAUUUUGUGUCUAGAAUAUCCAUAAAUAAUUGAAAUCGGUAAAUGUAAAAGAAGAAAUAAUGAAAAAAUAAAAUUAAAAAGAUUUCAUGAAGUCAACACAUUAGAAAAUAAGAACAGAAAGGUAGAGAUAUUACGAAGGAGAGGAAAAAGAAAAAAGAAAAAUCAUAUGACAUGGUUGUCAUAUUAAAGUAAAAAGAAAAAAAAAUAAAAUUUUGUAGUAAUUAACUGUGAAAGGAGAUCGAGGGUUACAGGGUAAUUUUAAAAUUUUGAUGAUUUCACUAUUGAAAUACAUGUUUCUAGAAUUAAUUUUUCCAAGAUGUAUGUACUUUAAAAUUUAAAAUUUAAAACUUUAAAUUUUUUAUAUUUUUUAGUUGUUGCAUGAAUAUUACAUCAUUCUCCAUGAAUAGAAUGUGAUAGGGCAUGGUUUUUAAAUCACUUUUAUAAUAAUUUUUUUAUAAUUAACAAGUUUGGCAAAAGAUAUUCUUAAAUGAUUUAAUUUAUAUUCAAUGCUAGUAGUCAUUUUAAUUGGAUAAACUUUUCAAAAGCAAAUUUGAAGAAUUUGGGUCAAAUGUAAUGUGCAUUUUUGUAGGGCCCUCCCAAUGGACCUCGUAAUGCCAAAACUUCUGGCCUUCAUGUUUUGUCAACUUGUUCACACAAUAAGCUCACGAGCUUUACCUUGCUUUAUCUUGUGAGACUUUGAUAUAUGCUUUGUUUGUAUUAAAGAGGUAAAAAAGUUCUUAACCACCAUUCCAUUUUGCACUAAAAAAAAAUUGAUAUAGACAUGCCAAUUGACUUUGUGUGUCAAAUAUUGUCAUGAUGCAUAUGAGAAAAUAAUGUGUCAUUUGACUCCUUUGAGUCAAAUCUUGCCUUUAAGUACAGAGAAAUAUUUGAGAAAUCGCAAGCAUUUUUUCUUUGUUGUUCAUUAAUAUAUGGAAUAGGUUGACCUUUGAAUUAGUCAAGGACAUGGUAGGUCUUUUGGUCUUAUUUUUACUCAAAUUUAUUUGACUCAAAACUGAAGUAGCAUUAAAAAUGAUACUUCAUGUGGUUGUAAAUUUACAUUUCCUAAGGGUUUUCUUCCCUAUUUGAACCAAAAAUUGAUUUUUAGGGUUAGAGGAACACCUCCCCUACAACAGUCAGACAAACUCCAUUGAGUUCCUCUUCCAUUCAAAGAGUGGGUGUGUUUGUUUCCCAAGAAAAUCUAACCCAUUUUAAGUUCAAAAUAAAUUUUUAUCAAAUUUUUCUUUAGAGCUUGGGUUGAUUCAUUUGGUUCUUCCAAAGAUGAGAACUUUUAACUCAAUGACCCAAUCAAAUUACAUGCAUAAUAACAUGAAAAUCUAGAAACUUAAGUAUUACCGUUUCUAAAUAUGACAACUUUUAAUUCAACAACCCAAUCAAAUAAUCAUGCAUAAUAACGAGAAAAAUCUAAAAACCUAAGAACUACCGUUUCCGAAGAUAUGGACUUUUAAUCUAAUAAACCCAUCAAAUAACAUGCAUAGUAACAAGAGAAUCUAAAACCCCUAAGAACUAACAUUGCCAAUUUAACCCAAUAACCCAAUCAACUAACAUGCAUAAUAACUAGAGAAUAUAAAAAAACCCUAAGAACUAAUCAUUGAAACAUGAAAAUUUUGAUAGUAUGGGAAUAACCUAUAAACCUUAAAAUUAUCAAACUUUGAAAAGUAAGAUUUUUAAUAAAAUAGCAUUCUAACACCAUGAAUGAUAACUAGAAAAUUUAAAACCGAACCAAAAUUUUCAAGAUAAGACUUCUAAGAAAAUAGCAUUUUGAUAACAUGAAUAGUAACUAGAAAAAUUAAAACCUAACCAAAAUGUUCAAGAUGAGACUUUCAAUGAAAUAGAAUUCUAAUAUCAUAAAAUAUGUUCCAAAAAAUUUAAAACCUAACCAAAUUUUUGUAUAACCAACUUUUCAAGAUGGGAAUUUUUAAUAAAGUAACAUUCUAAUAACAUAAGAAGUGUACUUGAAUAUGUCUAAGUAUGUUGUCCUAAAGGAGCACUUAAAAAGAAGCUAUUCUAAAAAGAGAAAAGGAAAAUCCUAGAUCUAACUUGGGGUUUCCAAGGGUCACAAUGAGGGGCUAGAUAAAUCCCUCAACUAGAGUCUUUGAGAUGGCUAAAAAAGGUAAGUUGUGUGAGUUGAAAAUGGGCCACCAGGGAGACUACUGCAAAGUAUGAAAAUAGCACUUAAUAGGGCAUGUGCUAACGUAACAAAUGGAAAGUCUACACUUGCAUGCUAGAUUUAUUCUAAGUUGUGCUCACAUCUAUUUUGCAAGGUUGUUUUAUUCAUCUCAUGGACCCUAAGGAUGAAUGAAUGAAAUGCUUUUAUUAAUUCAAUUGAAUGAAUGAAUAUGAAUGGAUAUGAUCUUUGCCAUUUGAUUCUCUAGUUUGGGUUGUGCACCCCAUGAGGGGUACAAGAUUUUUAUUUUAUUGUAAAAAUAUUUUCUUUUCAAUAGAUGGGUUGUAAGCUCCAUUAUAGGAGCAUAUAAUUUUAUUUUUUAUUUUUUUGAUUGUAAAUUUUUUUUUUUAUCCAUUUAUGGUGACCCAAAAGGAAAGGAAAAAUUCUUAAAUUUUCAUUUUUGAGAUCCUAUGGUGACUUAAGAAAAAAGAAAGAUUCUUGAAAGUUCUUGAUUUGAGAUCCUAAUUUGACUCAAAAUUGGGACAAAUCAUAUAUGGUUUUGAAGCUUAGGAAGUUAGGAAUCCAAUGCUUCAAACAAUUUUCUAUUCGGAGUUGAAAUGAGGAAGAUAUAGUCAAUUGAAGUAAGGUUGUACAAAGAGCAUACUAUUUCAGAAUUAAGUUCGGGCCAAAUUGUUUUUGGUUAUUUGGGCUUCUUUUUUAGCUUUUUUUUUUUUUUUUUUUUUUUUUGUGGAAAUUCGACAUUUUAGGGUUUUGUCAAUUUUUACUAACUAAUCUUUGGUUGUAAGAAUAUUUUGAUAAUUUGAAUUUUGUCCAAUUUUUAAUUACCAAAUAUGCAAUAGGAUCCCUAAAGUUCAUGAGAAAUAUUUAUUUAAUUAUUUCCUUGUUUUUAUUUUAUGUUAUCUUUAUUACUUGCUUAUGUGACCUAAAAUAGGAUAAUUUGGUAUUCUUAAUUAGAUAUAAAUUUUCAUGGGCUUUUUCAAAAUAGGAAAACUUAUUUAAAUUGGAAUGUGUAUUGUUAGGAAAUUUAUUUUAAGAAAAGAUAAGUUAGAAAAGAAUUAAGAGUUUCCAUUCCUUUUAAAAAUUAAUUCUUAAUGAUUUUAAUUUUAUUUAAAAUUUUCUUAGAUCUUUGAGAUCUCUAAGAAUAAAAUCUUUCUUUUAAUGAAAAAACUCUUGUUUUUCCAAAUCUUUAUAAAAUAAUAUUUUUCCUAUUUUGCACAAGGUUUUGAUUUAAAGAAAAUAAGUUGAUUUUGAAAAUUCAUAAUAGAUAAUUUAUAAUUAAGAAGGUUACCAAAAUAAGUAUUCAAACCUAAAGAAAAAUGUUUUGGUAUUCUCUAUAAAUUUUCAUGAAAAGAUUUUUCCAAGAUUAUAUAUUUGAAUUGGUUGUUGCUAAUGAGAAUCUUAUUCAUUUGGAACUAUCAUUUUGAUUUUGGUAUAGAUGCUUCUCCAAGCUACUACACCAUACCUAAGAUGGUCCUUCAGGCUCUCUCCUCCUGAGAUAAGGAGGAAACCCCUAUUUGGAUAUGGAUAGUUCAAAAAUAAAGACUAAGAGAGCAAUUUUGUUUAGCAAACGAGUCUUAGUUUAAAAGAUAAAUAACGGAUUUGAAAAACCUCAUGAUAAGAAGGGUUUUCAAUCUUGUAUGUAGAGGUGUCUAAUGGGUCGUGUUGGGCUGACAUGACCUAAUAUUGAUCGGGCCAUUAGGGGCCAAUGUGUCGGGUUGGGUCGACCCAUGCAAGCCAAAUAGGUGACUCGACACGGCCCAUAAGUCCAUGGGCUAAUCGUGUCAUGCUGGGUCGGGUCGUGCUGUGCCGGUGGGCCAUGGCCCAUGGGCCACUCACUUUGUUAAAAAUUUUAAUUUAAUUUUUUAAGUCAUUUUUUCUUAAGUUUUUUCCUUAUUAAAUAAAUUUUAUUUUUGUUACUUUAAACACCUCUAAUAAUUAUAUUUUUAUUUUAUUUUUUAUAUACUUCUAAUAAUUAUACUUUUUAUUUUUUACAUUUAUAUUUAUUGAGUUUGUAAUUGUAAAAUUUAUAGAAAUAUUAGUUUUUUGUUUUUAAAAAUAGUAAAAAAAAAUUACAUUUGAAUUUGUUUAUUUUAUUUUUAUCAAAAUAACAAUAAAUUUAAAAUAAUGGAAUAUAAAAGGAAAUGAAAUAUAAAAAAAUAAUUCUUUUAUUCAAUAUUUCAACAAAUUACAUGAAAAAAUAAUGAGAAAAAAAAAACAAAAGUGAGAAUUGCAUCACUAUAGUUUGAGUACAUCCCAACUAGGUUGGCACCCACCCAACUAUCAAUCAUAUGCAUUACUUAACCUUUAAAAAUUAACUACAUUUAAUAGAUUUAAAAGAAACGAACAACAUAUAAUUCUUCAAUUAUCAUAUUCACUUUUGUCUUCUUAUUCAAUCUUCAUUCUUAUUUUUUCAUCUUCAAUCAUCAUCAAUCUCUUGAACAUCAUUGUUUGCAUUGAGAUGCAAUUUCUUGAAGGCUUCUUUAAGUUCAUCCUCUAAAGUUUGACAUGAAAAAAGUAAAAAUAGUUAUUGAUUUACUUUUUUUACCCCUCAAACUAGUUGUAAUAUAAUUGUUAAGAGGGGUAUUAUAGACAUUUGACAUGUAAUAAAAAGUAAACACUAAAAGGUGAAAUUUAAAAGGGCCAAGUGGGUCGACACGGUGGGCCGACGGGUUGUUUCUUUAGGCCUAGCAUGGCCUGCUCCUUUGGGUCGUGUUGUCUUAGCUUGCUAUAGUGUUAGGCCAUACUGGCCUUGCCUGACCUUUUGGCGUGCCGAGCCACGGGCCAAAAUGGGCAGCCCGACCCAAUGACCCAGAUUUCAUUAUACAUUUGAAUGGUUUGAAUUGGAAGUUUGAUUUAGGACAAAAUCAAUAACCAUUAAAAAAAGAAAGAAUAUUGUAACACCGUUCAUACCUAUUGACUUUCGUUUUUAAUACUAUUGAAAAUUUUCACGAAUGAGAAGGCAACAAAGCAAGAAUUCUUAAGAUUCUAACUAUGCUACAGUCAUGAAAGAAGAAAAAGGGGGGAGAAGUAAUGUUUUUAUACUACAACCCACAAUCAUGAAAUAAGAAAAAAGAAAAUUCCAAAAAAUAUAGACCAAACAACAAGAACUUGCUUAGGCAUCUUCUAUACGUGAUCCUUUCUUGUCACUUGUUUUUUUUCCAUACUGGAAUGUAAAAUCCUACCAUGAGUGUUAAAAUAAGAUUGCCAUACUUAUUAACCAAUUAGUGAGUAAUUCCUACAAGUGAUAGUUUCUUAUAAUACACAUAUUUCUUGUUUACUUGAGCGCUAGUAGUAAUGAUCAUAAUUUUAAUAUAUUGAGAAUGUAAAAUUUUCUAGCAACAAAUAUAUUUAGCCCAUUGUAUUACAAAAAAGUACUAAAUGAAGAAAAAAAAUAGAGAUGGAAAGAAAUCUAAAUUCUCUUUAGUUCAAAGGUAUAAAAUAAAAUCAAAUAUAAUAAAAAAAUUCAAAAUUUUUCAAUCUUUAUGUAGAAUAGAAAAAAGAAGAAGAAAAAGGAUACUCUUGGUGAAACAUGUAAGAAAUGUUAAUUGAAUUUAAAUUUAUUUUUCAUUUUAUUAUUUUUUUAAAAACUUUUUAUUGUUUUAAAUUAAGAAAUAUACUAAAGACAUAGGUUUUAGUGAUUGCCAUAUGUUGGUAAUAAGCAGGGAAUGUCACUAAAAAAUACAAUAUAUUUUAAUUAAAUGUUACCAAGUAUUGUAUAAUGAAUGAGAGAUGAAUGUUCAAAGAACUCAACCCCUUUUUCUUUUUAGAAAAUCCAUUAGAAAAUUUUUCUUGAAGACUUGAAUAAGAUUUCCUUGGAAAGCAAACAACCUCCAAAAGAGGAAGGGAAUGAAGAGCUCACUCACCGAUUGUUGCUCUCUACAAGCUCUCUCCUCCUGAGAUAAGGAAGAAACCCCUAUUUGGAUAUGGAUAGUUCAAAGAUAAGGACUAAUUAGAAAACAAUUUUUUUAACACACGAGUCUUAGUUUAAAAAAUAAAUAACGGAUUUGAAAAAUCUCAUGAUAAGAAGGGUUUUCAAUCUUGUAUAUUUAUAUUGUCAUUCAAUGACUUAAAUUUCAUUAUACAUUUGAAUGGUCUGAAUUGAAAGUUUGAUGUAGGACAAAAUCAAUACCCAUUAAAAAAGGAAAGAAUAUCGUAACACCAUUCAUACCUAUUGACUCUCCUUUUUAAUACUAUUGAAAAUUUUCACAAAUGAGAAAGCAACAAAGCAAGGAUUCCUAAGAUUCUAACUAUGCUACAAUCAUGAAAGAAGAACAAAGAAAAUUCCAAAAAUAUAGACCAAACAACAAGAACUUGCUUGGGCAUCUUCAGUAAGUGAUCAUUUCUUGUCACUUGUUUUUUUCCAUAUUGGAAUGUAAAAUCCUACCAUGAGUGUUAAGAUAAGAUUGCCAUAAAAGAAAUUAUCAAAUAUGACAAUAUUUUUUCUAAUUUUCAAAGAAUUAUCAAAUAUGACACUAAAUUUUCAAAAUAACACUAAAUUUCUUUCUAUUUUGGAUUUAAAAGUGAGUAGUAAAACUAAAAUUAUCAAAUAUGACAAUAUUUUUUCUAUUUUUCAAAGAAUUUCGAAAGCAUUAUAUUUAAUUAAAAACACUUGGCUGAUAAAUAAAUAAACUGAAAACAUGGGAAUUCUGGAGAGCUACGAAACGGAGAUAAGAAUAUAAUUAAGGAAAAUGAAAGUGAAAGCCAAGGAAUGAGCAUCAUCACCUCCUAGAAGUAUCUAACCCACCUCGCUGAAGUUUGCUAUAAAUACCUAACAAUUUCCCUUGAGUUCAUCAAUGCUUGAGUUUGAAUCUUAUCAAUCACAGUAGUAGCAAUGGCAGACGAGAUUAUCUUGUUGGAUUUCUGGCCUAGCCCGUUUGGUAUGAGGGUCAGAGUUGCCCUGGCAGAGAAGGGUCUCAAGUAUGAAUAUAGAGAGGAGGACCCGAGGAACAAGAACCCUCUGCUUCUUGAGAUGAACCCCGUUCAUAAGAAAAUCCCAGUUCUGAUCCACAAUGGAAAGCCCAUUUGUGAGUCUAUGAUAAUAGUUCAGUAUAUUGAUGAGGUUUGGAACAAAAAAUCUCCGUUGUUGCCUAGUGACCCAUACCAGAGAGCUCAGGCCAGGUUCUGGGCGGACUACAUAGACAAGAAGGUAUGCCUUUUCUGUUGAUUUAAAGCAUUCUUUUCCAUUGAUUCAUGGCGAUUGACUCACAUUUUGAUUAUGGUGAGGGAUUUAUCCAAAAUGCUAGUUCUUCACAUAUUCUCUUCUGAUAUUGAGUUUUGUUGGCUUUGGUGUCCCAAACUAGAACUUUACUGAUUCUCUUGCUGUUUCUUCAACAAGACUCCCCUCUGCAUUUCUGAUAUGGGUUUUUAUUUCUUUGUUCUGUUGAAUCCGACGUCUGUUCGUUCCAUCCAAAAAAGCAGAUCUCAAGAAUACCUUUUCCCCCAAGAAAGGGAAUACAUAAACCAGAAUUUUAAAGAACAGAUUUUGGUUUUUCGUUAUCCUGCUGUUCAACAUUUUGCACAACAGUUGUUUUAAUAUAUGUUCUGUCUUUUUGAUCUCUUUCUUCUCAUUUCUUUAACACAAAUUGAGGGGAAAAACUUUAGCAAAUGAUACAUUCUUUCAACUGAUUCUGAUAUUUUUCCUAGGAUACGAGAUUUCUAUGCCGAAGGGUCGUUAAUAAACUUGCCCAACUAUACAGAAAGUUUGAAACUUGAUGAAAUGCUUCCAAAAGAAAAAAAAAAAACCCUUUUCUCUCUUUGACUCCAUUACUUUCCACAGCUCUAUGAACUUGGAAGGAGGAUAUGGUCAACCAAAGGAGAAGAGCAGGAAACAGCCAAGAAUGAAUUCAUAGAGUACCUUAAGAUUUUGGAAGGAGAGCUUGGAGAGAAGCCUUACUUCGGUGGUGAGAAAUUUGGGUUUGUGGAUGUGGCUCUGGUGACUUUCUCAACCUUGUUUUAUGCGUAUGAGAGCUUUGGUAACUUCAGCAUAGAGGUGGAGUGCCCCAAGUUGAUCGCUUGGACCAAGAGGUGCAUGGAAAAGGAGAGUGUGUCGUCUUCUCUGAAAGACCCACAGAAGGUCCAUGGCUUUGUCAUGGAGAUGAGGAAGAAGCUUGGUAUAGAGUAAAAGGGGAACAUCAUGUGUGGGGGUCUUUCCAUCGAAGACCCACACAAGGUCCAUGACUUUGUCUUGUGGAUGAGAAAGAAGUUCCGUGUAGAAUAAAAGGGCUUUUGAAUCGUGUUGUAUUGGUAAUAUGAGAGGAGUGUUUGCUUUAAGUAUGCUUUGAAGGGGCUGGAAAGAAAUGUUUACAAUUUGUUUUCUUUUGUUUUGGACUAGAGACGUGUUCUUGUAUUGAAGAAAUAAAAGAGUUUUUAACUACAUUCCAUUGUAUCAUGUCACAUAAACAAGCAUUAAAAUAAGUUGGAUAAGACAUGCCACAAAGUUGAUCAGAUGCGUAGUCUAUAAAGA